AGAUCGGCGGAUCAGGUUGUCCUCGUCUUUCGGAUGGCGAUGCCAUAGGCAAAGACGACACCCCGUUCCCAAAAAUGUGCAUAGGGAGGAGGCACGGCCCUGAGAACGUCGAAUUCUGUUGUGCAACAUUGCCAGGACUACCUUGCUGGCGAACGCAGGAAGAGUGCCUCCACGUUUGCCCAUAGGUCUCAUCGUUGUGAUUAAUCAACGUAGCGGGCCAACCUUUGAUGUUUCUGUCCAUCAGAAAAAUUUGAAUGAAGGGAAAUGAAUAAUAUUUUUUCAAGGGGAGGAAACAAAUAGUCAUGCAUGGAUAUGUAUACAGAGAUGGACCGGCUCUGCAUCUAGGAAAUUAAUAAUUUGUAAACUUAUGCCUACAAUUCCAGCAUUACGCCUUUUAUUCGCACAUGGCAUCAAAUAUGUCGUUGCCACCCGUCCAUGGUUGCUCGGUUUUGCCCCGUGUGGCGCGCGAUGAUCCAUUGCUGUUGCUCACAAAGUCGUUCGCUUCCACCCUCCCGUAGUCAGUUGCAGUGAAGCCUAAGGGCCAGUUCUUUUGGGCAAUUCUCCGAGAAUUGACCCCCUCCCCAGCUUCUCCCAGAAUUGCCACUUCAUCUUUUUUUACAAUUCCUAGCUAGUUAAGAUCUAAUUAGCUAGGAAUUGUAAGAAAAUAUAGAGUGCCAAUUCUGGGAGAAGCUGGGGAGGGGGUCAAUUCUCGGAGAAUUGCCCAAAAGAACUGGCCCUAAGCAUAUUUGCAGCCAAUUCUGAUAUAUAUGGUGGCAAGCAAUCCUAAAAUCAAACUGAUUAGUGUGUUUCAUUCGUAUCAUGACAUUCCCAGCACCAAAAUCUGAAUAGUUAGACAACAAUGUAAACCUUGAUCGCCGGAAUCGGAAUGAAGGUUCAUUUCCUUUUACACGACAUCAGAAUUUGCACGGUACUAAAGCAUCCUAUAACUCACCACGGGAUCAAUGCUUACUGGAGCAUAGCACAACGCAUGACAGACUCAGAUGCACCACUCUCAAGUCUGAAGCAUUCAAACGACGAGCAUUCAUAUCCGUUCCAGGAACAAAGCAAAGUUGUACUAGAGGCUAGACCUACUACUAGAUGAACUUCUCAGCUUAUCCCACUAGCAACAACAUUCCAACGACCCAAUAAUCACCAACGGCAUCCAUGUUACCAAAAAAGAGGCAAUCAAGAAACCCAGUGCAGCUUUGAGAGCACGAUCAGUUGCUCAUGAGGAUGUUGGAUGUUACAUCCCCCAGAACUCCUUCAUCUGCUUCUGGCUGCGGAGAUCUGGUAGAAGUAUCAGGGAGUGUAUAAGUGUAUAAGUGUGUAGUCUAGGAUCAUGUACAGAAGGAACAUACUUAACUUAGCAAAACAUACUUCCAAUUUAACAGAAUGGUGACAAGAUAUUAAGCAGAUUAUAUAUGCACAUAAAAGCAUGUGGCUUUUCAGGGAAAGCGGAACAAGACAGUAUGCAGUCGAUAUCCGUCAGCAAAUAGCACAGGGACAUACAAGCAAGUAAAAGUACUGAUAAUGAAAAUAAAUACAAAAUGCUAUCUGAAGAGAAGGUAUGACUCACAAGCAUUCCCGCUGUGGCAGACAUAAAUUUUCUCGACUGGUAUACCAUUUUCCAUGAACUAAUUUGCCAGCUUAUGGACUCUCCCAUCAUCCUUUGAGCAUGUGAUCUUCACCAUUCGAAGGUCUUUGCAAGUAAAUGAUCUUCCCUGUAAUUUGAUACUUGUUUCUGAUGCCUUUCUGGCAUUGAAGUUCUUUUGCAGAUCAAAAAAGUUAUUGUUAAGCAUGUGCUAAAUUACUCAAAACUAAAAGAUAAUCAAGUAAGCAUAAGCCCCAAAUAUGUAAUUACACAUACAAUUUUAAGUCGGAGAAAGAGCUUCUGUAUAUUAGGUGAGUGCUGCAGCAAGAAAAUUAAUGCAUCAAAGUCUGCAGUCAUACACCAUUCGCCAAGGGACAAGGUCUUCAGGUUGCCAAAAGUUGGACAUGUAUUGAGUUCCCUACUCAGAACCACCUACACAUUGCACAUAAAAUGAGUGUGUUGGAAAUAUGCCCUAGAGGCAAUAAUAAAAGCAUUAUUAUUAUAUUUCCUUGUUCAUGAUAAUUGUCUUUUAUUCAUGCUAUAAUUGUAUUAUCCGGAAAUCGUAAUACAUGUGUGAAUACAUAGACCACAAUACGUCCCUGGUGAGCCUCUAGUUGACUAGCUCGUUGGUCAACAGAUAGUCAUGGUUUCCUGACUAUGGACAUUGGAUGUCAUUGACAACGGGAUCACAUCAUUAGGAGAAUGAUGUGAUGGACAAGACCCAAUCCUAAGCAUAGCACAAGAUCGUGUAGUUCGUUUUUGCUAGAGUUUUUUCAAUGUCAAGUAUCUCUUCCUUAGACCAUGAGAUCGUGUAACUCCCGGAUACCGUAGGAGUGCUUUGGGUGUAUCAAACGUCACAACGUAACUGGGUGACUAUAAAGGUACACUACAGGUAUCUCCGAAAGUGUCUGUUGGGUUGACACGGAUCGAGACUGGGAUUUAUCACUCCGUAUGACGGAGAGGUAUCUCUGGGCCCACUCGAUAAUGCAUCAUCAUAAUGAGCUCAAAGUGACCAAGUGCUUGGUCAUGGGAUCAUGCAUUACGGUACGAGUAAAGUGACUUGCCGGUAACGAGACUGAACGAGGUAUUGGGAUACCGACGAUCGAGUCUCGGGCAUGUAACGUACCGAUUGACAAAGGGAAUAGUAUAUAUACGGGGUUGCUUGAAUCCUCGACAUCGUGGUUCAUCCAAUGACAUCAUCGAGGAGCAUGUGGGAGCCAACAUGGGUAUCCAGAUCCCGCUGUUGGUUAUUGACCUGAGAGCCGUCUCGGUCAUGUCUGCAUGUCUUCCGAACCCGUAGGGUCUACACACUUAAGGUUCGGUGACGCUAGGGUUAUUAGGAAGACUUGUAUGUGAAUACCGAAUGUUGUUCGGAGUCCCGGAUGAGAUCCCGGAUGUCACGGGGAGUUCCGGAAGGGUCCGGAGGUAAAGAUUUAUAUAUGGGAAGUUCUCAAACGGACACCGAAAAGUUUCGGGGGCAUAUCGGUAUUGUACAGGGGCCACCGGAAGGGUUCCGGGGGUCCACCGGGAGGGGCCACCCCUCCCGGGGGGGGCACAUGGGCUGCGUGGGGCAGGAGCCAGCCCCUGGAGGGCUGGGCGCCCCCCCCCCUUGGGCCCAUGCGCCUAGGGUUGGGGGAACCCUAGAGGGGGCGCCCCCUUUGCUUAGGGGGCAAGUCCCCCCUCCCUGGCCGCCGCCCCCCUCUAGAUCCCAUCUAGAGGGGCCGGCCCCCCUUGCCCCUUCCCCUAUAAAUAGAGGGGUGAGGGGAGGGCUGCACACACAAGCCAAGGCGCAACCCCUCCCCUCCCCAACACCUCUCCUUCUCCGUCACGAGCUUGGCGAAGCCCUGUCGGAGUGCUGCUUCUCCACCAACACCACGCCGUCGUGCUGCCGGUGGAGCUGUCUUCCUCAACCUCUCCUUCCUCCUUGCUGGAUCAAGACAGAGGAGACGUCGCCCGUACCGUACGUGUGUUGAACGCGGAGGUGCUGUCCGUUCAGCACUUGGUCAUCGGUGAUCCGUAUCACGUCGAGUACGACUCCAUCAUCACCGCUCCCUCGAACGCUUCCGUACGCAAUCUACAAGUGGUAUGUAGAUGCAAACUCACUCCCUUGACUCGUUGCUUAGAUGAACUCAUAGAUGGAUCUUGAUGAAACCGUAGGAAAAAUUUUAAUUUUCUGCAACGUUCCCCAACAGAGUGUUCAGCAAAUAAACAUAGUAAUUUGAAUCAAUUCUAUACUUUAUAUACUGAAUACAAGAGAUAUAUUUAAUAUGCAGAGAAGAAAACAAACAUACCCACCAUGAAAAAGAAACUAAGACAUACAGUGAUGUGUUACCAUGAUUAGUACCUAUUGGUAAAAUAUGAUUCCUCAUUCCUUUCUAUAAUGUGAAGAGACAUUGGGACACGGAGUUUCUGCACACGAGCACAUAUGAGCUCUUUAUCGGCAUGGAUGGGGUGCAGUUAAUUCGUGGGUGGAAUACGGGGUGCGAGUUAAUGAUGUAAAUUGAGGAAUACGGGCAUGGGGAUUUGUGAGCUGUCCCCGAGGAAAGAACGGAGAACCAGCCGCCGUCAGCCUGCGGGAGGCGAGCCGUGGCUCGGGAAGUUCGUCGACGUUCUGAUCCAUGGAACAGGAAAAACACUUUCCUCGUUGGUAGUAGUAACUACGAGGUGGAGGGGUGGGAGUGCUCUGCUUCCUGUAGGCACUCCAUCGUACCAUCAGCGAGGUCGGGUCUCCUGGGAUCUCAGCCACCGUGGGAAUGGGCCGUCGCCGAUGAGCAGGAGAUAGAAUUCCUGAUGCAGCCAAUUAAAAGGUAACGUACAGAUCCUCUUUCCCGCAGUACAGAUUUGUGAUGAAUUCCUUCCCUGCGAUUGACUUUCCGUUUCCGCAUCUGUCGGAGCAGAUUCACGGUGCUUGAGGAGGUCAAUGAUAGCGAUGUCCCGAUGGCGCCGCUGCAUUAGCCCGUCGCCGGCGUCGGCGAGCUGCAGCACGCGGCGGCCCCAGAGCUGAGCAGGGACGGACAAAUCUGUGCGACCCAAGCAGUGGUGGCGGCAGACUGGCAGAAAGGGAAAUUUCACCCCAAAAGGCUUGAUUAAUGAACCUAGAAAAUCCCUCGAAUUGGAUCCCACUAAGCGUCCGAGCUCUCCACCGGCAAGAUGAACCCACAGUUUACUGGAUGGGCUCGUAGGUAUGAACUUACUUCCGGCUGUGAUUUUGGAUGUUGGUAUUCAGGUCACUGUUCCCGUAUAUAGGCAUAGUGGAUAAAAUUCAUCCAUGGCCAGGGGUAGAGCAGUCCCAUUGAGGAUAGAUUUUUACUGGCCAAAUUUUGGUAUUCCAUAAUACAAUGGGUACUCAAUGGAUGUAUAAAAUUCAGUUUAGAAAAAAAGGGUUUCACACGAUCUUCAGGAGUUGCUUACAACAUUAUAAAAUUCACUGGCAAAAUCAUACGCAUUUCGCCAGUCUUUCACGCGAGUUUCUUACAAAAUUGUAAUCCGUUCUUCAGGAGUGCGACAUCUUAGAAUUGAGGAUUGACUGCAGCAUGUAUUUGUGCUUUGUCGUUAUCACACGAUAACCAGAAAUACCUUGUUGGCAGUUUGGUCAGUGUGGCCUGAUAAAAAUAAUGUGCCUGCUGCAAUAAUGAACUUGCCUUUCAUCGAUGUGGCGACAUGCGUGCCGAUCACAUACACAGAGCCUUGUUACCUGAGAUGUGCCUUUUAGAUUUAUUGGUUUAUGAACCCAGCUAUCUUAUAUGCUACUCCUUUUGUACCUAAAUAUAUGAUGUUUUGGUAGACUAAACUGGCCUACCAAAACAUCAUAUAUUUAGGUAUGGAGGGAGUAGAUUGAUAUAUAUGUUUAUUUCCUGGUACAGAGAUAGAAAAUACGGCUACUCUAGUGGGAAGUGCAUACAUACAUGAAUUUUUAAUAUAGCAAGCAGACAUUGAUGGUGAUCUAAAAGGAAAAUGUAGCAAUUUACUAUGUUGUACCUUCAUCAUAUAAACUAGUGGUAAAUAGCUCAGGUAAGUUUUAUGUUAGGAGUGCGCCAGGUGAACACUCGAAUGUUACAGAACUGAGCUCAGAUGGGGUUGAUGUAUCAUAAGUCAAUAAGUGCCUGAAUUGGGUAUCUACCAUUGGAGUUGCUUAUGGAGUUUGAUAUGGUCUUUCAUAUAACUAGUAGAGAUAAUAUGCGAUUGUUCAAGGAGGUCGUCGUUUGAUGUCAGGUACCAAAUUCGAAAGAAGCAGUACAAGUGUACAGCUAGAGAAGUUGCCGAAACAAUUGUAGCUAUUGAAACAGUGACCCAAGGUGCUGUAGCUCAAGCUAACUAGCAUGCAAGGCCGACAACUGUGGCGUCAUGGCAACAGAUGUGUCAACAGAAAGAAUUGAAAAUGAUGGAAGAGAGUCCAGUUCUUGAGGACUGUGCAACACAUUCCAGCAUCAGACAGCUCCGAUGACAUGAAGAUAAGAGCGUCGAUGAGGCACAAAUACCAGUGUCUGCAUUCCAGAAUGAUACAUCAUCUGCUGGUAAUGGGGGGAUUUUUGCAAUAGAUAUGUGGAAGUAGAUCUACGGGUUAAUUGCUCUAACAAGGAAUAUGACUGAUGAUGACGCAAUGCUUGAUAGAUAAUCGAAGCACAGAUUGUCGGAGGGGGACAGGUCUAGUGUCCGAACUGAUGUCGAGGAACCUAAGGUUGCAAGUUGGUAUGGUGAGGACAAUUGUGUAAGGUGAUAUGGGGGAUAAAUUCUGAUGGAAAGCCGAUUUUGAAGCAUGAAGAGCCAAAUGCAGGAGAGGUGACGAUUUUCUAUGACAAAUCCUGUCAUGUACCAACAUGGAUCUUAGCAAGUGAGUGUAACUAAGGGAUUAGCGUUAUUAAAUUCGAAAUGAAUCAUGGUAGCUUCAGUACUCACUGAGGUUGUCAUUUGCAGGAUAUGGUUCAAGCACAUGGUUCCAACAUUCGCUUUGCUGACGGGAGAGGACUACAUCAAGGAGUUUGGACAAUUACAUUAGUCUUGGUUAACAACUUAAACCGGUGAGCGCUAAGAUCAGUCUUCGUGUUUGCAUUCAUACUGCUUGUGAUUUUGACCCUAUGAUGGUGGAAUGUGCAGAUCCGACAUCACUAUCUCAGGAGGUCAAUUGCAUAUGAGGUGAUCUCGAUGAGAGGUAACAUGGGUGAGUUGCCAUGAGAGGUAACAUGGGUGAGUUGCCCAACUUCAUGAUCGAGAAAGUCUUCUUCUGAUGUGGGAGUGCUGAUCUGGUACCAUGUGGUUGCUUUUGGGUGGGACUUUUUUUUUGUGCGAGUGAAUUAAUGUGCUUCUAUUACUCAGUGAUAAGCUUUUGGUUGGAACCUGAAGCUGUGCCUACGGUUCGCGGGUACUUGUUACUUGUUAGCUUCCAUUCCAGUUUCUGAUGUGGUUGUGCUUGUAAUCCCAUUGUGUGGUAGCCUACCAUUAUGUAUGUGUUAAAUCUGAACCACUAUUUUGAGCCAGCUGUGACAUGUUAGCAUCCAUCCCGCUUGAGUAGUGUGGAAGUGCUUGUGGUCACACUGUGCCGAGACUUCAUGAACUAGUGUGUGUGAGACUAUGAUCUGAACAAGCGAUGCUGCAAUUACUAUUUGCUUGUGUUAGUACGUACCUACUUUUUAGCUAUGAAUAAAAAGAAUUUGCAUUAGUACUUGCGACGACAACUUGUGAUGCAUAGUGCGACCUGAAAAAGUUGUUCGCCAUGUCCGGCAGCGGUCAUGAUCUGUUUUUUUUUAACAGGCGGUCGGCGGUGAUCUUGCAGAAGGAGGUCAAAGACAGAGGGCUUGGUUUCCUUGGUGGCAGAUCAAAGUAUUAAUUGCAGCAACGUGGCAGUGGGUAGACGGCUCAGGAAGGUAUAGGAUGUCGGUCUAGCACGUCAUAUUUUAUCUGGGCCGGAAAGUACUUGACGGGCGCAGGUGUAAUUAAUGCGACACAGAGGUGGGCCAUCGCUCAAAGAAAUAAUCAUGUAGGACUCCCUAUACGAGCUAAAAUACAAGCGGGAGUGUGAAUCUGGAAGAAAGCAGACAGAUGUGAUAAAGUGUGCAGGUGUGCUCGGGCUCAUAAGAGCACUUUCGGGGACAUUGCCGUUAUACUGGUACCCAGACUCAAAAUAGUUAAUUACACAACGAUUUGAACAAUAAUCAUUUAAAAAGAUACACUAUUUCAAGAAUAUAAAAAAUAACAAACAAUAAUCUGAAAUAAUAUAUAAUGCUCUUUUGAAGCUUCGUACUUCCAUAUCUCAUUGAUUUCACCUACUACAUUUGAUGAAGAAAUGAGCUAGUACUAAUUUCUUGAUCUGAACUCUUCUCCAAGUCAACUGUGCCUUUCUAACCAGGUAUUGGUACUUAUGUAAGAAGUGUGCUCAUUGUACAUGUGUAUUCUGUUGGGAGCAACAUAAAUUUCUUUUGCAAACAUCAGAAAAAAGUUGUUAAGGAAAAAAAAUUAUGGCUAUAUCAAGGAAAUUUUCAUAUAUACUCGAAGAUAGAGAAAAUAGUAAAAGGUUGUGACAGCUAUACCUCUCCAGCAUCAGUCAACAACUCCAAAGUUCUAGCACUUGAAAGACUCUGAAGAAUAUGACGGCCACCUAAAAUCUUCGCAUCAUUGCAUUCUCUAUAUCCACCAUAGAUACUGUCUUUACUGGAAAUCAGGCCUUUACCUUUGUAGCCAUACUUUGCAUCAUUUGCAAUCUCACUGUAUGCAUAGGUAUUGUCAUCGUUGUCAAUAUCACCACCAUAGUUAUAAUUAUCCUUGUAACGAUCAUGCCUGUAAAUUCCUUCAGCAAAACCAUGUCCAUAUCCAAACCUUAUAAAAUCAUCAUAUCCAACAUUAUCACUCAAGGAAGACUCAUCAUGAAUCUUCGAGCUCUCUGUCCAAUCAUUGUAGUCGGUAUCAUCCCCGUCGUCAUCAGUAGUUCCAUCACAGUAAUCUUCAUCACUGAUGUAUUCAUUGUCAUCACCCAAGAAAGAGUCAUCAAGUAUGAUAGUAGCUGUGACAAGAGACCCCAAAUUCUUGAAUGAUGGGACUCGGACGUAAGGUGUGAUGAGGUGCAGAAGUAGGAGGUUCGGAGCAGCAAUGGAGAAGGCGCAACUGAUCUCGCAUUCGAGCAUGAUUAAAGUCUUCAAAGAGGCGGACACAAUCCUAGGGCCCGCCACCAAGCAAUCCUUCAGACCUAGUACUUCCAAAGACGUGCAGCUAGAAGAAAGCUGCCGGAGGAUCCUGUAGUCGAGCAUGGCAUACGACAACUUCAAGACCUUGAGGUGGCAAGAGAUGAACGACACGCGGUCCAACGACGCGAUCUCCGAGCAACACCCGGUGAGAUGGAUAACCCGCGCGUUGCGCUUGAUGGCGGCCCUCAUCCACACGCUGGCGUCGUCAUCGGUGAAGCCAGCUUCUUCGUCGCUCGACCACAGGCGGAGCAUGACCACGGGGGCUGACGCUUCACGUAGGAGGAAGAGCCGGUGCACGAAGUCGCGGAACUUCUCAGACGGGUCGCCGUAGCGGCCAGUGGAGGGGUGCACGCGGAGAUUGACGCAGGGCACGGACGCCCAGAGGUGGCGCCACCGCCGCGCGAGCACGCAGGUGUGGACCACCUCCCACGCCUUCAAGAAUGACAUGAUGUGGUGCAGGAGCUCGUCCGGGAGGGCGCUGAGGUGGUCGCGCUUGGCGGCAGCCCGGCCUGCACCGCGGCGGCGGCCCGGGCGCUGGGUGGUGCUCCGGUGCAUUUCGUCGAGCGGAAGAUCUGCAUGCAGGUUUAGCGACACCACGGGGCUCAGCCUUGUCAGUCAGGAUUUUGAAUGAUGGAACGGAACAUAACAUACCAAGAGAGUCGGCUUGAGAUGGCCAAAAGUGAAUUCCGCCAAGAGACACUCACGUACACAAGAGCUAGCAGAAGCACUUGAUCGGUUCCUGUACAAGCAUGCACUAGUAUAUGAGCCUGACUUGUAGUACAAAGUUGAAGGCGUUUUUAAACCUUCAUCAAAGGAUAUGGAGUGCAUUGCCGUUUGUUAAGGAAACUGACAGAAACAAACUGCGGAGUGGAAUGUCACAAAUUCUCCAAAUCCACUACCCAAAAUAGUAAUAAAAUGAUUGUACAUAGGGGCGGCGUUGCCGGAAAGGAAAGCAGGGGAGAGGUGGCCACCUUGCAGCUUGGGCGCGGACGGCGUGAGCUCAUCCACGCCGUAGAUGUGCCAGAGGCGGGCACGGUGAACGUCACGCGGUGCCUCGAAGGCACCUACGCUGGCGGGGCCCGGCCCCGCCGUGGAGCUCACCGUCGCGACGACGGCCAGUUGCCGCACGGAGAUGUGGGGCAUGAUGUCCGAUGGCGGCCUUGAGUCGGAGCAGCUGGGGAAGGGAAGGGAUGUGCUUGGCACCGGAUCUGUAGCGCCGCCGCGAAGCAACAAGGGAGAUGGUCAGAUGGGACUAUCAUGGGAGCAAAUCCUGAAAUAAGAACCGUGGGCGCCCCUGCGCUCUCUUAGAGCUUAGGCACUCUCGGCCGUCGGAUCGAUUUCUUGAUGCGUUUUUGACCAUUCGAUCUCGCUCCCGGAAGACCUCGGCCGUCGGAUCAAACCAAAAACACUGCCGCAAUGAGUACUGUGCCCUCCAGCGUGCCACCGCCAGUUAUUUCUAUGCCCCGCCGAGGGCAUUUUUGUCAUUUCAUGUCUUAGGUCAACACUUGCCCUUUUCCGUUUUGCUGCCUCCUUCCCUAUCAGUGCUAGGACUAUCACGGGAGCAAAUUCGUUAGAAAUGAGGGUCCUUUUUGCACAGAAGCGUGCAUUUCUGCGUACACAUCCGUCUCAUUGAGUCCGUGCCAUCCAUCAAUCCAGUGGUCCAGCUUCCAGUUUUCUAUUUUUGCGACUAAGAGACAUAUUCUAUAGCAGUCGCCCGACCAAUAUGGCGACUUUUGACUGAGAAUGUCAUUUUAGCAUACUAGUCAUCCGAUCUUCGGCCUGCAUUGAAGGGUGCUCCAUAUUCAACCCUUCAAAUAAUGUGGGUCAUUGGUUUGGAGCAUGCGUCAUCCACCAACUGCUCGAGCGGGAGGAAAGUUUUGGUUCGGUCUCUUCCUCCCGCAUGCAGCCCGAUCAAUGCUGGUGUCGCCCGUGCAGUUGCCGCUUCCGCCCUGACAAUGUUGCAACCACGUAUCCACAUGGAAGAGUGCCAACUAAUGCUCUUCGUCACGUUUCCCUCCGGCAUGUGGCAAAUUAGCCCCAAUUUCCAGCCGAAACACGCCCAUUUCGCGGGUAUAUGAACCCAUUACCUUCGCCAUCAGCACCACAUUUAACCUCUCUCCCCCAUUCCCAUCGCCAACACACUCACCUCACCGCCCCCCUUCACCGGCCGCCACCCUGCCCUCUCCACCCCUGCCGCCACACUCAAUCUCAUCGACCAUGUCGAUGUAGUCACGUCCUCCCUAGCAAGACCAAAGAGGUCCACACCGAGAGAGGGUUCUGUGGGAGGAUGUGGGACUACUUCAAGUGGAUCGAGGAUGACGCACACCGAAAGGCUGAAUCAGUCGUCGUCCGUGCCCGCCUACCCACCGCCCUUGAGUAUUUUGACUGAAUGUCGAUGGCAGCCUAGGCAGAAAUGGGCGCCACGUUCACGCCGCUUUUCAAAUGCACGGUUAUGACCACUCUGCUAGAGUUGCUCUUAUAUCUCGCCAGCACAACCCAUAAAACCACCCUGGCUCUGCACCAUAUUUUCUGGUUUGGUCAAGCCAGACUCACUCUAUGGGACCACAAGCGGUGGGACAAAGAGAAUAAAGGGCGGCAAAGAGGAGCCGUCGGGCGACAACCAAAACAAGAUUUGCCAUGGGGCAAGGUUUUGCCAAUUAGGCGGACGGGGCGCAAGUCCGAUUAGGUGGGUAGAGGAUAGUCCCAUCUGGUUUACGCUUCCUAGACUCCUAGUUGGAAUACUGGCCAUCACACACAUCAUCUUGACAAGGGGGCCCAACUGGUUAAAAUCAGAGCAAAGUGUUAAAUUGGGUUAAACACGACACAGCACAACAAUUUUGGGGUACGAUGUGGCCGAAAAUUUAAAUGGGGCAAAUACUAUCACAAAUACACAAACAAUGGGUAAAAAGUGAAAUUCACCAUGUUAUUAACAGUGUCCUUUUUCAACAACAAAAAUGCAGUGUAUUUUUUCAGGUGUUAGUAUUUGUUAUUCUGAGAGAAAAUACCUCGCCGCUCAUAGUUGUAGGCACACAUGAUUGCAGAGCAUCAAGUUUACUUCAAUAUUCAACCUGUUGUAUAUGAAGUGUAUUUCCUUUUCACUGCAUGUGAAACACAUUUCAAAUUUUCAAUUUUUCAUUGAUUUCAUUAUACAACUGUAUUAAACUUCCGAAGAUAAAAAACCCUACAGUCAUACUGUAGGAGUGAAAUAACGAAGCGUAUCUCAGCUGCACCACAAUUCAGGCAUGGGGCAUCCAUAAUUUAUUUUUCUGUUCUUGUAAGAAAGCUAAUUUUACUACAGACCACACAGAUGAAUUAGUUUAUAGUAUAGGAAGAACAUCCCAACGAUUUGUAGCCCAUGCUCCUAAAAAGGACGUCAAAAGAUCGGGUGAAGCUUUGAAAGCAUCAUCAGUACUGCAUGGAGAUCAAGGGUUCUUACUGCACCUUGCUAACUACAUAAUGGAUGGUCGAUCGUCGGCAGGAUUUAAUAUCUAGAAGACCCCUCGUAAACUUCUGGAUGUUACAUCCAGUCAUCCCCACAUUCAUCCAGUUCUUGCUUGGCGAGGUCUCUCAUAAACUUCUGGCCACGGAGAUCUGGUAGAAAUAUCAAAAAGUAGAUGACUGUAGAUUAGGACCAUGUAUGAAAGAACAUCUUUUAAUUUAACAGAAUAUCGAUGAUACACUAAGCAGAUUAUAUGCCCAUUUAUACGUAUUUAGCUUUUCAUGAACAAGGCAAUGUGCUCUUUACAUCUCAGUAAAUAGCAUAUACACAUAUAAAGCAGUAAGGAAAUACUGAUAUUGCAAGUAAAUACAAAAUGGUUAUGAAGAAAAAGGUAUGACUCACAAGCAUUCCCACUCCGACGCACAUAAAUAUUCUCUAGCGGUAUACCAUUUGCCCUGAACAUAUGUGCCAAGGUGUGGACUCUCCCAUCGUCCUUUGAAUAUUUGAUCUUGACCAUUUUAAGUUCUUUGCAAGUAAAUGAUCUUCCCUGUAGUUUGAUACCUGUUUCCAAUGCCUUCCUUGUGCUGAAGUUCUUUAGCACAUUAACCAAAUUGUCAUUAAGUGUGCGAUCAGAUACUAAAAAACUAAGAGCAAUGAAGUCAAGGAUCAAGUAGCAUACACCAAAUAUGUAAUCGCACAUACCAAUUUAAGUUGGAGAAAAAGCCUCUUUAUAUUAGGUGAAUGUUGUAGCAAGAAAAUUAAUGCAUCGAAAUCAGCGGCCAUACACCAUUCACCAAGGGACAAGGUCUUAGGUUGCUAAAAGUUGGACAUCUUCUCAAUUCCCUACUCAGAACCACCUUCAUAUUGCAGACAAAAGAGUAUUCAGGAAAGAACGGUAGUAAGUCAAAUCAACUACUCACAGUAAAAAACUGCAUCAGGAUGGUUUAUUCAACAGAAAAAACAUACCCAUCUCAAAAAAGAAGGGAAAACAACAUCUAUCAUGCAUAUACUGAUGUAUUGCUAGAAGAGUAGCAUGUAUUGGUUUUAUAUGAUUCAUCUUUCUUUUCUAGUAACUGAAGGAACAUCGGCCUUAGACACUCUUAUAAAAACCGAAUAUAAUUGAUCAUUAUAUAUAUAUAUAUAUAUAUAUAUAUAUAUAUAUAUAUAUAUAUAUAUAUAUAUAUAGACACGCUAAACUAAGCCUGAGCGCAUUGUAAGUAAACGUACGCUCUGACCACUGUGAAGCGCACCACUAACCGACCCUUCCUCUAACUAGUCUAAGCCAACCAUCCUGGUCGAUGCGGUAAACUGAUCGUAACACUAGUAGAAAAAGGGCCUACAUUCCCGGUUGGUCAGGGCCUUUAGUCCCGGUUCAUGNNNNNNNNNNNNNNNNNNNNNNNNNNNNNNNNNNNNNNNNNNNNNNNNNNNNNNNNNNNNNNNNNNNNNNNNNNNNNNNNNNNNNNNNNNNNNNNNNNNNNNNNNNNNNNNNNNNNNNNNNNNNNNNNNNNNNNNNNNNNNNNNNNNNNNNNNNNNNNNNNNNNNNNNNNNNNNNNNNNNNNNNNNNNNNNNNNNNNNNNNNNNNNNNNNNNNNNNNNNNNNNNNNNNNNNNNNNNNNNNNNNNNNNNNNNNNNNNNNNNNNNNNNNNNNNNNNNNNNNNNNNNNNNNNNNNNNNNNNNNNNNNNNNNNNNNNNNNNNNNNNNNNNNNNNNNNNNNNNNNNNNNNNNNNNNNNNNNNNNNNNNNNNNNNNNNNNNNNNNNNNNNNNNNNNNNNNNNNNNNNNNNNNNNNNNNNNNNNNNNNNNNNNNNNNNNNNNNNNNNNNNNNNNNNNNNNNNNNNNNNNNNNNNNNNNNNNNNNNNNNNNNNNNNNNNNNNNNUCCGUGCUUGGUCGACGCUACGUACCAUACAUACAUACGUAUAGAGAGGACUAGCUAGACACGCUAGCUAGCUAGUAAGCAAACAGAAGAUCGUCAUGAACAUAUAUGCAUACAGAGAGAAGUGAUAUCGACCACCUCUCCUUCUCCGAGAGAUUGGUCGAACAAACAAGUUCUCGUAUAUCUAUCCGACACUACCGGCUACAUAUAUACAAUAAUUAUCUUUUACAAAUAUAUAAUCUCCUAAAAUACGGACGCGUGGUCCACAUAGUAUUCUCCGUCUUCAGCGAUCACGUGGUCAAGAAAGAAUGCCGCCAAUUCCUCUUGAAUUGCUCGCAUGCGAUCUGGUGCUAGGAGUUCAUCCCGCAUCCGAAACAUCUAAUUUUAAGAAGGGGGUCAAUACAUACAUACAUAUAUAUAUAUAUAUAUAUAUACAUACAUAUAUAUAUAUAUGAAUGAAUGAAACUCAACACAAAUGAUGGUAAUAAAAUAAAAUUGUGAAUAUUGUUAUUUACGCACUUCAUAUUGUUUGUCGGAGUAGCCCCGCUCACAAGUCGUGUGGCGGAUGGACUCGCAAAUGUAGUAUCCACAGAAAUCAUUCCCUUGUUCCUACCACAACCACUUUACAAGAAAUAGAGGUCAAUCAAACUGAUAAUUAGCAAGCAUGCUAAAUGGUAUUGAUGAAACUAGCGCUUGAAUCACUAGGAGAUGCCUGGAAUAUGCUACUAUAUAGUACUUACUUUCGGGUGCCUAAAUUGCAGCUUCUUCGGUAGUCCCGGAGCUUUUUUGGUGAAUUUUCUCCAAGCCCUGCCAUACAAAGAAAACAAUUACUUGAUAUCAGAAAUGAACAAAGUUGCUGAUAUGGUGGAUAAUGAUCGAUUUAACUUACUUCUCGAGCAUUUCAGUCAUGUCCGCAUACUCCUUGGGAUCUUUUCUCUUGGAGUCUAAGACAGUUACUACUCCCUUCUCAAGCUUAAUCUCUAGGAGAAUAUAGUGGUAGCUGCACACACAUGCAUAACUCAUCAAUAUUACAUUACUAUAACCUGGACUAAUAAGGAAACCGAAUAUGCCACAAGACAGUAACACUCACUUGAAGUUGUAAGGAAAGAGUAUUAUAUCUUUGUGUUCAUUUAUUUCCAACGAUCGUAGCAAGUUGGCCUCGGUUUCUUGGGCACGAUAUUGAACCUCAGUUGCAUCUAUGAGAUACGUGUUAAUGAACCCAAUAUCUCCCACUUGUCUUUUCUUCAAUUCGGCGAUCUUCAAUCUACAUAAUAUAGUGAGGAUAAUUAUAAAUACAUGCAAAUGAAAGGGCUGAGUUAUAUAGAGAGACUUAAUGACGGAAGUAGUACUACUUACAGACAGUAGGAGGUGACCGUUGCUUUAUUGAUGGCCAAUUGAUUGAAAAACUGAUAGAACUCCUCAAACGGAAUAGGCAACAGUUCAAUUCCAAGGAGGUAAUGCUCCUUUUUAACUCUCACAUACAAAGUACUCCUCCCCUCAGACUCUUUGCAGGUUUUCAUGUACCAAUCAUGCAAUCUUCGCAUCAUCGUUGAUAGAGAACUUUCAUCUUUGACGAGAGGCUUCCCGUACUCGUAUCUUUGUAUCUGCACCUCCAAGAUAUCAUAAUGUACAUCGUCGGGCAGGUAAUCUGCAGGAUUGCCAUAACCGGGGCACCAUCCUCGGAUCGACGAUGUCGCUAGCAGGCACCUUGAGCGGGGGGCACGAUUGCUUCGCUUGUUCGCCGAGCUGGGCAAUUUGUUUCCCAGCUCGUCGUUCUUUCAUCCUUUGAUCACUUUUAGUACUUCCCGACCUCUCCGCUUCGGCAAAUGCCUUUCCAAUAAUGCGCUCAUUGUUGCCUUUCGACGGAGACUUGGGUGGUUUUGUCAGGGCAGCCAGAGUGCGCUUCCCUUUCACCGGAUCUGCCUUCUCCUCCGGAGGUGGAUGUCUCUUUGCUUUCAACCCUUGAAACCAGUCAUCCACUUCGGUCUGCGCGAUCUUCGCGUUUUCCUUCUCGCUCCUCUCGUACGGUAACUUCUCUGGAGUCUUCAGAGAAGGACCGAAUCUGUAUCUCCUCCCGCCUUUGGCUGUACUGCUAGACGCCGGCAGAGUAGACAGAGCAGAUGUCUUCUUUCCUUGCUUACGAGGUGGAGGAGAAGGACUGCGACGCGCCGUAGAAGCCGGAGCGGCGGCGGGUCUCUUCCGCCCUUGCUGACGAGGCGGAGAAGGAGGAGGCUGGCUGCUCGUGCGCGCCGGCGCAGGCGGAGAAGGAGGCGGAGUGCCGCCACGCGCCGGAGAAGGAGCGGGCCGAGUGCCCUGAUCGUCACUCGCCGGUGGAGGAGGCGGAGUGCCCUGACUCGCCGGAGGAGGAGGAGGAGGCGGAGGCAUCCAGUUCGGAAGGUUGAUGAGAUCCUUCCGCCAUAAGCAUGGAGUCUUCAAAGCAGAACCCAGCCGAUACUCCCCUUCACCGGUAGGGUGGUCAAGCCGGAGGUCCUCAAAUCCCUCCGUUAUUUCAUCGACCAUCACCUUAGCAUAUCCUUCUGGAAUCGGCCGGCAGUGAAAAGUUGAGUCGGGUUUAGUAGGAUAAACAGAGCCAACAGCCGCCUUGACCUUCAAAUUGCUCCAUUGCGCCAUAAGGUGGCAAUUUUCAGCAUACGUGAUAGCAUCCACGGGAUAGCUGGCAGGAGCCGUCAAGGCAUGCUCUGGCUGAAGCAGCUCGGUGGAAGCCACACUGCUUUUCCGCUGAGAUGGCGGGGUAGCUUUGGGGGAAGCUUCGGCAGGUCGUUUGCUGCGAUCUGCUUCUCGUUCCUCUAGCCCCAUUACCCUUUCGUGCAGCGACUGCAGUUGGCUCUGCUCCAGUUUCUUCCUCCUCUCGUGGGUUUUGUAACCCCCUGCGUCCGGAAAUCCAGCCUUCCACAAAACGGAGCCUGGCGUGCCUCGUGUCCGUCCAGGGUGCUCAGGAUUGCCGAGGGCCAUUGUGAGCUCGUCCUUCUCCCUGUCUGGAACAAACGUCCCUUGCUGCGUUGCUUCGAUAUAUUGCUGAAGCUUCUUGACUGGUAUGUCCAAUUGUUCCUCCGUCCAAAUGCACUUCCCUGUUAUAGGGUCCAAGGAUCCGCCGGCCCCAAAGAACCAAGUCCGGCAACGUUCUGGCCAGUUCAUUGUCUCUGGUUCGAUUCCUUUAUCAAGCAGAUCAUUCUCAGCCUUGGCCCACUUAGGCUGGGCUACGAGGUAGCCACCUGACCCCGUGCGAUGGUGAAGCUUCUUCUUCUCAGCAUUUCUCUUGUUUGUCGCCGACAUUUUUUUACUCUUUUCCGAUGUCUUGUGGGCCACAAAUGCGGGCCAGUCAUCUCUGAUCUUCUCAUAUUUGCCAAUGAAUUCUGGUGUCUCAUUUUUUUCGACAUACCUAUUGAGGUCUUUCUUCCAAUUCCUGAAUAGGUCUGCCAUCUUCCUCAGAGCAAAAGACUUGAUUAAUGGCUCUAUAACUGGCUUCUCCGGAUCAUCCUCCGGCGGUAGGGUGAAAUUUGACUUCAGCUCAGUCCAAAGAUUCUUUUUCUGCAUCUCAUUGACAUAAGACACCUCAGGGUCUUCGUUCUUAGGCUUAUACCAUUGCUGGAUGCUGAUCGGGAUCUUGUCCCUAACCAGAACCCCACACUGAGCAACAAAUGCCUUCUUUGUCCGGUAGGGUUCAAUCGGUUGGCCGUCGCGCGCGACUUGUAUGAUCUCAAACUUUUCAUCCGAGCUCAACUUUUUCUUCGGGCCUCGUCUCUUUACCGAAGUUGUGCUCGAUCCGGAGGGCUAGAAAAAAGAACAAAGACGAGAGUUAAUUAAUAUGUGUACAUACCAAAACAAUGAGUGCAUCAAUUAGCUAGUCAGCACAGGCUUAACUAAUAUAUAUACCUGGCCGGAAUCGGUUUGGUGAUCACCGUAGCCGUCCUCACGGUCUACUUCUUCACCCUCUCCUUCUUGCACCGGCAUUGGGUCAUCGGAGCCAUGUAAAUCAAUGAGGAGAGGGCCAGCUGCUUCUUCACCCUCUCCUUCCAGACCAUCGUUGUCGUUGAGAAACAUCGAGGAGAGGGCAUCACUUCCUUCUGCGAUUAUGUCCCUCAACAACGCUUCUUGUGCUUCGUCUCGGGGGGUGUCCAUAGUUUCUACAAAUAUUUACAACAUGGCAAUUAUUAUUCAAACAUGACAGAUAUGGAUAUAUUAGUGGUAAACGUAGAACUAGCUAGCUAAUCACAAUAAGGAAUCAUAUUAGUGGCCUCGAUGCUGCUUCUCUAGGGUUUGGGGUGGCCUCAACAAUGCUUCAAGGGUUAGGGGGUGGCCUCGAGAACGCUUCAAGCUAGGAGGGGGUAAUAUCGACCCCCCCACAUGUUGAAGCUAUCGGGAGGGGGUCGGCGUUGAACACUACAUAUAUGUCCCACAAGUGACGUGGGCAUCGACGCCCGCGGUAGGGUAGAGGGUCGUGGAUCACCGAGCGAUCGAGGGUCAAGGGGUCGGGAGGAUCGCCGAGGGGUCGAGAGCCUUCGACCCUUGACCCCUUAACGACCCUCGACCCUGAAACCUUCGACCCUUGACCCCUUAACGACCCUCGACCCUGAAACCUUCGACCCUUGACCCCUUAACGACCCUCGACCCUCUACCCUAGUUCCCGACCCUCGACCCCUCGGUGAUCCUCGACACCCUCGUUAUAUCGACAACGAAGCAACAUACAUAUACAUGGGAAAAUAAUGUUAUCGGGGAGGGGGUAUCGGUACCCCCCUCGUGUCAAAGUUUCUUCUUUCUCCUAUAUUCCUUUCUUUCUUCUUCUCCUCUCAUGUUGAAGUUAUCGGGAGGGGUAUAUCGACGAUGACAGAGGAGAAGAUCGAAGAAAAAAAAGAAGAAGAAAAAGAGGAGAAGAAGAAAGGAAUAGANNNNNNNNNNNNNNNNNNNNNNNNNNNNNNNNNNNNNNNNNNNNNNNNNNNNNNNNNNNNNNNNNNNNNNNNNNNNNNNNNNNNNNNNNNNNNNNNNNNNNNNNNNNNNNNNNNNNNNNNNNNNNNNNNNNNNNNNNNNNNNNNNNNNNNNNNNNNNNNNNNNNNNNNNNNNNNNNNNNNNNNNNNNNNNNNNNNNNNNNNNNNNNNNNNNNNNNNNNNNNNNNNNNNNNNNNNNNNNNNNNNNNNNNNNNNNNNNNNNNNNNNNNNNNNNNNNNNNNNNNNNNNNNNNNNNNNNNNNNNNNNNNNNNNCCUCUUCUUCCUCCCCUCUUCUUCUCCUUUCUUCCUCUUCUUUUUUUCUUUUUCCUCUCAUUCUUUUUCUUCUUCUUCCUUCUUAAAAAUACAUGAAGUAGUAUUGCUUGUUUUUUUUAAAAUAAUGUUCAAAUAAAAAUCUAUGAACAGAAAACAUAUAUAUACACAGAGAACAUAUAUACAUUUUUAUAAAAAUGCAAAAAACAAAAAAAUCUAAAAAAACAUAUAAACAGAUAUACACAUAUACAUAUAUACUCAUACAUAUACACACAUAAUCAGGAAAAAAACUAUAUUUGCAAAAAAAAGGGGGAAGAGGGGGGCGGUGCCGGCCCUGACCAAAGCGGCGCGGGGCGAGGCAGAGGCGACGGCGAGGCAGAGGCGACGGCGAGGCAGAGGCGGGGCGGCGACGGCGUCGGGACGGCGCGGCCGGGGUGUCACAUCCCUAGCUUUACCCUGGCCUUGGACUAGCUUGGUUGCUGCAUCAUGUUUAAAUUCAAAUGAAAUUUGAAUUGAGGAAUAUUGGAAGCCUCAAAACCCUAAAUAAAAGAGGGGAAAAAACCCUAGAAAUCUCAUUCAUUGCUCCAAAAUGCUCCUCUUAAAUGUUUGAUAAUUUUUGGUAAGGGUUCUGGUCCCAACCAAAAUAUUGAACAUUUUUAAGGAUUUAUUUUUGGGACUUUGAAUUUAAAUCAUUAGCUAUUUGAAUUUGAAUUAUAUUCAUAUAAUUAGAAUAUAAUUUCAAAUAUCCCUGAAAUAUUUUAUAAGCUUUUGGAAAAGUCCAUCUAGCAAUAUAAAAUACUCAGUGGAGUUUUUGGCAUUGUUUGAAUUAUUUUUAAAUUCAAAACAGUGGCAAAAGAAUUAAAUAAAAACAAAACAGAACAGAAAAAUAUAACACAGAAAUUACCUGGACCUUACCUAGCAGCCACCCACAGCCCAACACUGUGCAGCCCACCUGCGCAGGCCCAGCCCACCUCCUCCCCCUUGUCUUCUUCCUCCCCUCGCACCGAAGCAGCUCGGUGGCGAGCGCCGACGCUGCCUCGGCCACCUCCUGCUUCCUCUCGUCGCCCUGGACUCCGUCCGCAACGCCACGCAGCCCCUGGCCCUUCUCACUCCCUCUGGACCGCUCCGCCUCCCCUGGCUCUCUCUUUUCCCUCUCUUCCUGUGAUCCCCGAACGCACCUGGGAGCGCCGCUCGCCGUAGCCAUGACCACGGCCACCCCCUGAUAUGGGCACGACAGAGGAGGUGAAGCCCAAUUUCAGGACUCCACCAAGCUAGGCGUGUCGUUGUUAUUUUUAAUGAUUAGAUUUUUAAUAACUGUGAGUUUUGGCCUGGUUUUGGGCCUGUCCAACCAAGUCGGGUCAAGGCCCAUUAGGCUGGGCGCCUCACCCCUCCAUAUAAGGAGCUGGGGCGCAUUAGGUUUAGGGAGUUCAGAAUUUUAGUCUAAAACUAUCGAGUUGUGUUUCCUCGGUGAAGCAUCCCUCCGGGGACGGUGAUGCCGUUUAUCUAAUAAAGAUUGCUGCGGAGGUUCUUGUGUUCAUCAAGGAUUAUCGUGCUUUGGUUUGAGGCGUGGUGAUCUUCAUCACGUUACUUGCUGGAUUUGUUUCCUCAUCUUCAGGUUACGUGGAUUACUCCCGUGAUUAGAAGUUUUUCUAUUUUAUUGUCUUGCGGUGAAAGAUCGGGCAAAAAAAACUAUAGGAUCAUCACGUUGAUCCUUAUUAUGUGGUAUCAGAUUACUGGGUUUCUCACCGCGAGUUCAUCCUGUUGAGAUUGCACUGCCGCCAGUCUGUUCUGCGGAGAGUUCUCGUGGAUCACGGUGCAAUUUGUUGUUCGGCGAGGAGAUUAGUGGCGGCAAAUUCGCGAGGGCCGAGCACGCUUGGAUCUGUGUCUCGGCGGAGAGUUCGUCUUCCAGCCAGAUCAAACUGACGGCGUCGGUGCUAUCAGUUUUCCUUGCGAUCUCGGCGAGGUUUGGUCGCUCAGAUAGGAAGGAAGCGCUGUUUUUGGUUGACUCCGGAUUUUCAGGAAGGAGAGCGAUUUGGUUGGUACGUGAUGGAGUACUAGUUUGUUUUGGAGUUUUGUGAUCAGCUUGCCGGAUUUUUAAAUUAGUUAAAUCCUAAUUAGUUAAGGCAGGAGAGAGAAGAUUCUCUUGUUUCGGUCCAUUUGGAAACCAACUCUCGGUAGAGUCGAGCUCGUGGUAAAAAAAAACUGCGAUUUUAUUAUCUGUUCGCAGGAUCGGGAAGAUGGCUUCCACAUGGUUUUCUCGGCUGGAUGAGAAUUCUAAGGAACGUGCUCGGACUGAGAUAGCUGAUAUACAAAAGAUCAUUAAAGAGAUGCGGGCGGAAUUAAAAAAGCCCACUACAGUUUUUCCAGCGUAUACUGUGCAGCAUUCCGUGAAGGUAAUUUCCAAGGACGCAUCCAUGGUGAAGAUAGAUGAUGUUAAUGACGACAAUGAGGCAAAGACAACACGUACUGGUUCUAAGGAGGACAAGGCUGAUGUUGACACGAUUUUGGUGGACGAUGUUGUACCAUUGAGUGGGCUGAAUAUGCAACUCAAGAGGGUACAUGAUGAAGCUUGCAAAACAGUUGAAAAGGGUCAGCGGUGGAGUUUAUUUCAGACUCAGUGUAUGAUUAAAGGCAAAGCAUGCAAGUUGAUGAUUGAUGGUGGUAGCUGUACUAAUGGCAUAAGCAAGGCAAUGGUGGCAUCAUUGGGGUUGUCCGCAUGGCGUAUUCCUGAACCUAAGCAUCUUGAGUGGUUGAAUAGCUGCGGUAUGCUGAAGGUUACUCAUAAAGUGCGUGUGCCAUUUACAGUUGGUGACUAUGUUGAUGUGGUAGAAUGUGAUGUGUUGCCAUUGGAGGUGUGUGGGCUGUUACUUGGACGUCCAUGGCAGUAUGAUCGCAAUGUUACACAUGCUGGGAGAGCAAAUACAUAUUCUUUUAUGCAUGAUGGCAAACAACAGACUUUGAAGCCUAUGAAGGAUGAUCAAAUAAAGUCUAAUGUGGAGCUGGUGGUACAUAAGGAGAGGUUGCGCAAGGCUAAGGCGACAAGUUUAGCUAAGCUGCAGCAUGAGGAGCAUGAUGCACAGAGCGAGAUUGUUGAUAUUGCUUCAGCUAUACCUGUAGAUGACAAGCCUAUUGUUCUUGUUAGUGACAAGUCAGUUGAAGUACAGCCUCUUUUUGAUGAGAGGAAGGAUGUUGCAGCAUGUGAUACAAUUCCAGUUUGUGUUGACACAGGUGUUCAGACUGAUGAUAUUUGUGCUGAUCAUGUCCUAGUGCAUGAGGUGCUUCGGAGCGACAAGCGCAGUUUUGUUAGCACACCUGCGAGGUGUUUUGUUGGAGCAGCAGUGCGGAUGCACAAAGGCAAGGAUGGACAUGUUCGUCAGUUGUGUGGCCCAGGCAUUACUCAUCUUUUGCAGGGUAGUGCAAAGCAGGUUCAUGUUCAGAAACAAAGGGCUCCAGCAAAGGUGGACAAGAAGAAGGUGGUGGCUCCUAUGCCCAGGCGUGUGUGGAGAAGAAAGGCACCCACAGCUGAACCAAGUCGAGCAGACCAAGAGGGAGGAUGUGGAGUGGUAGGCAGGCGAGACUUGAAGAUGACGAAGACGCGUGAUGCUUUUGUUGAUAUCACGCCACUCUUUCCAGCAGACCCUCACGCGUUGAGGACAACGCUUUUUGAAGGGGGGGAGGAUGAUAUGGGCACGACAGAGGAGGUGAAGCCCAAUUUCAGGACUCCACCAAGCUAGGCGUGUCGUUGUUAUUUUUAAUGAUUAGAUUUUUAAUAACUGUGAGUUUUGGCCUGGUUUUGGGCCUGUCCAACCAAGUCGGGUCAAGGCCCAUUAGGCUGGGCGCCUCACCCCUCCAUAUAAGGAGCUGGGGCGCAUUAGGUUUAGGGAGUUCAGAAUUUUAGUCUAAAACUAUCGAGUUGUGUUUCCCCGGUGAAGCAUCCCUCCGGGGACGGUGAUGCCGUUUAUCUAAUAAAGAUUGCUGCGGAGGUUCUUGUGUUCAUCAAGGAUUAUCGUGCUUUGGUUUGAGGCGUGGUGAUCUUCAUCACGUUACUUGCUGGAUUUGUUUCCUCAUCUUCAGGUUACGUGGAUUACUCCCGUGAUUAGAAGUUUUUCUAUUUUAUUGUCUUGCGGUGAAAGAUCGGGCAAAAAAAAACUAUAGGAUCAUCACGUUGAUCCUUAUUACCCCCUCCCCUCUCCGACGUGCUCCCGAGCUCCUGCACCUCGUCGCCAACCCCCUCACCGAGCCACGUGACCGGAAGGGCCCCGAGCAGCCGCCAUCGUCAUCAUCCCCAAGCUCCGGCCCGGCGCCGUUCUCCGUCGAAUUCGGCCACUCCGGCGCGCCCCCGAGCCCACUGACCCUCCCUACAGCUCCGCGGUGAGCCUCUGUGCAGAACCCCUCUCUCUCCCCUCGUGUUUGCGAGCCCUAGGCCAUAGUUCCGUCGAGACCGAGACCUCACCGGCGCCGGACUUGUCGCCGUCGUCGUUUUGGUUCACCUCCGUCCAAACCGAGCACGCAGACGUACUCAGAGCACUCCCAGGAGUCCGUAGCACGCCCCAGCCCCUCCUGCCGUGCUCCCUAACGCCGACUCCGAGCUCACCCGAGCUCCGGCCGCCGCCUCGCUCGCCGUCGGCACCGAUUCCGGCCGCCCCGAGUGCAACUGACUCCACCAGGAGCUUCGGCUCGUCCCCAGCUCCUCCUAGAUGCCCUCCGCGGCCCAUUUGGUCGCCGGAGUGGCCAAAACCACUCUCGCCGCCGCGCUAAUGGUCGCCGCCGGCGAAACUCCGGCAGGAGCCGACGUGGCCAGUCAUUAGGGCCUAACUACCCCGCUAACCAACCCCCUAGGCCACUGACAGUGGGCCCCAGGGCUUAGUCAGAGCUAACCAGCCCGGGUCAACGCGGGAUUAGUCCCUGUGUCACUGACCAGUGGACCCCACUGGUCAGGUUUGACCCGGGGCAGCCCUGUUGACUUGCUGACGCAAGCAUGACGCAGUGCUGAUGUUAUAAUUAAUUUUCUGGAAUUGUUUUAAUUCUAAAUAAUCAGAAAAUUCCAGAAAAUGUCUAAAACUUCUAAAAAUCAUAGAAAAUUAACCGUAACUCCAAAUUAAAUAAUUUAUAUAUGAAAAAUUAUCAGAAAAAUUCAAGGAAUCCAUCUGUACCAUUUUCAUGCAUGUUAGAACAACUUAUCACUACUGUUUAGAGCAAAUGAAGUGAAUGGCAUUUAAAUAAUCAUAUAUGAAGUUUGAAUUUGAAUCUUGUAUUCAAACCAACUUCAUUUAAUCUGGUUUUAGAUGCAUUAGCCCAAAACACAUUCAUUUUGCCAUGUCAUAGCAUGCAUCAUAUUGUGCAUUGCAUUGAUCGUGUUUUUCUGUAUUGCCGGUAUUUGCCCCCUCUCGAUAGACGUGUACCGAUGAUGUGAUCGUUGACACUAAUGAAGACUCAAUGUUAUCUUCAGAAGUGCCAGGCAAGCAAAAACCCCUUGUUCAUUCCGAUACAAUCAUACUCUCUCGCUCCUGCUCUCUUUUACUGCAUUAGGACAACACCGAUUCAUCUGUUACUUGCUGCGGUAGCUGAACCCCUUUAUCCUCUGCAUGACCUGUCAUUCCACAGUAAAUAGAUGAAACCCACUAGCAUGAGUAGGAGUUGUUUGAGCCCUGUUGUGCCUACUCAUUCAUGCUUGUUUGUCAUGCCUGCUACUGCUUAGAGUUGAGUCGGGUCUGAAUCAUCGGGGAUGAAUCAGAGGUGUGUGAACAUGUCCUACUGUGUGUGAGCUAAGUGUGUGAACACGAUUUGGUAAAGGUAGCGGUGAGAGGCCAUGUAGGAGUACAUGGUGGGUUGUCUCAUUGCAGCCGUCCUCAGGAACUGAGUUCUGUGUUUGUGAUCCAUGAUUCAGCUACUACCACGCAUUGGGCCCGAAACCAAUGGACCCUCUCGGCUUCUUAAUCACCCUUGUCCUCUGUCCAGGAGUUGCAAGUAGUUUCUGGUGUUUGUAGUAUGCUGGAGGCCGUGGACAGCGCUGACCGUAGGGGUGGGCUGUGAUGCGGUAGGCACGUGGCCGGGUAAACCGGGCACCCGUUUGGUGUCACGGAACCCUGUACACAUCGUUUGGGGCUGUGAGCGAAACUCCGGCCGGAUCUCCUCAUGGAUGGAACCUGAAUAGGCGAUAAACCUGGACUAGAGACUUGAGUGUUUAGGUAGGCCGUGGCCGACACCCACGUUGGGCUUCCGCUUGAAGGUUGUCGAGUACAUGUCGUGUAAACGACGGUAAGUGGUGAGAGCGUGUGUGAAGAAGUACACCCCUGCAGGGUUAACAUCAUCUAUUCGAAUAGCCGUGUCCACGGAGAAGGACUUCUGGGUUGCUUAUAUCAGUUCAUAGACAAGUGAAAGUGGAUACUCUAAAAUACGCAAGAUAAGCGUGAGUGCUAUGGAUGGCGUUCUCGUAGGGAGACGGGAGCGGAUCCAUAGUGGUGUAUUGAUAUGGUGAAUAUGUGGACUCGUGUGCGCCACCUCAAAAGAGUUACUCGCAGUCGUAGUUUAGGAUAGCCACCGAGUCAAAGCUGACUUGCUGCAGUUAAACCCCACCAUCCCCUUGUUGAAAAUGAUGCAUAUGUAGUUAGUUCUGAUGUAAGUCUUGCUGGGUACAUUUGUACUCACGUUUGCCUAUUUAUGUUUUGCAGAGAGACUUCGGUCUCGCUAGUAGUUCCGCGUGGACUUCGACGUUUAGCUUGUUACCUCAGCUACGAUCUUGUGCCCUCGGCAGGAUCUGAUAGAUAGUCAGGCUUCUCAGCCCUUUUCAUUUAUAGAUGUCUGUACUCAGACAUGAUAGCUUCCGCUUGUGUUUUGACUUGUAUGCUCUGAUUGUUGGGUCAUGAGACCCAUGUUUGUAAUAUCUCGCUCCUCGGAGCCUAUUGAAUAAACUACUUGAGUCGUAGAGUCAUUUUGUGAUGCCAUGUUGUAUUGCACAUAUCGAGCAUAUUGUGUGUAUGUUAUUGAAAUGCUUGGUAUGUGUGGGAUCUGACUAUCUAGUUGUUUAUCUUUAGUAGCCUCUCUUACCGGGGAAUGUCUCCUAGUGUUACCGCUGAGCCAUGGUAGCUUGCUACUACUCUGGAACACUUAGGCUGGCCGGCAUGUGUCCUUCUUUGUUCCUGUGUCUGUCCCUUCGGGGAAAUGUCACGCUUUGAGUACCGGAGUCCUGUUAGCCCGCUACAGCCCGGUUUACCGGAGUCCUGCUAGCCCAGUGCUACAGCCCGGACCCACUUGCUAAUGACCGACACGUUCGAAGCUGGGUCAUGAAUGCCUGUCCCUGUAAGUCUGUGCCACUUUGGGUUUACGACUAGCCAUGUCAGCCCGGGCUCCUUAUCAUAUGGAUGCUAGCGACACUAUCAUAUACGUGAGCCAAAAGGCGCAAACGGUCCCGGGCAAAGGUAAGACGACACCCGUGGGGAUACCGUGCGUGAGGCCGCAAAGUGAUAUGAGGUGUUACCGGCUAGAUCGAUGUGACAUCGAGUCGGGGUCCUGACAGCGUUGGUAUCAGAGCUUAACUGCCUGUAGGAUUACCAAGCCAAACUGGUCGAUGUUGAGUCUAGAAAUUCUUUAGUUAUAUAAGGGAAUUGAUUGUGGGAUGGAACGUAAGGCUCUUUUUACUCCUUAUACCUCAUGCCCUUCUGAUCUGAGUCAUCUUACCUUUUCUACGGGGAUUAAGAACUAGGCUAUCUCUUCUUUCUAUCAGGAUCACGUGUUACUAAUCCGUAGACUUAUAAGAUUGUUGGAUUUAAGUCUCAGUUCAGUUCCUACUACUUCUGUAUGUUAAUUAUUGAUCUCGAGACCUUGAUAUUGUGCUUCUGAGUGGUUAUGCCACCAUUUUUGUGAAUGUCUCAAAUCUUUUCUGAGCAUGUACAGCCGUUAUGCUGUCCGAGUCAUCCCAGGUUUCUAAGUAGUCUGAUGCAAUUGCAAAUCCUUUCUUCCUGUUUCAAUGUUCCCAUGGGCCAGAUUAACCACACUAAUCAGUGAGUUGAGGUACUCCGUUACCUUGACAUAUAUGUUGGAGAUAUUAUUAGGACCCUAGGUGUCUUAGGGGAUCAUCUAGUAAUUUAGCCAUGAUUUGUGUUCCCAGUGUGAUGAUUCUGGCCAUCAUUCUCGAAAGCAUCCCGUGAUGCCAUUUAGUAGUAGGUAUUCUAUCCCUGGGUUCUGAACCCGAGAUUCACCCUACUUGCUUCAUGUUGAUAGUUUUGCUCGUUCCUUUAGGUUAUUAGUAACCUUUGCAUUAGUCCUCGAUGUUCGUGGUAUUCCUUUCUUCCAAAUACUAUGAACCGCUUAUGGCAGAUGUUCCUCGCUGAUCGAAAGAUCACAAUCAGAGUGCUCUAGAUGGGUUCUCGAUUCUACAUUGUGACUCUGCCAGUUCUACCUUUCUGCAUGGGUUAUCCGGAAGAAAUAUGUUGAACUUGGUUCGACAUACUAUCUAUGCAUCCACAACUCAGAAAAUUAUAUGUUCCUUUGAGUUGUUCUCUUUAGUUGCAUUCUGACUUUCGUCUAUCAAUUGAUAGUCAAGAGUAUGCGUGCGUUCGUUCAUCGAUGCCUAUGACUCUUGUGGUCUGUCAAGCCAUUCUAUUUUAGAAUGAAUAGGAGAAACAAACUCCAGUACCUCUUCCAUAUCUAGGAUUGGGUCAAAGUAGUUGUAUUCCGCAGAUCAAAUGCCAAUCCAGCUUUUGGUUCUGCUCUACCUUGGAGUAUUACAUAUUUUAUAUCGAGAUUGUUAUAGGAAUUGCACACCAUCCCAUGAACUCUUGGUACAGUGACACUUCUUGCCAUCACUGUUCAUUCCUCGGCCCUCGUGUUGAUGCAACCGGAAUACCGACAAAUAAAUUGUGAUGUGUGAAAUCAAUACUGCUAGCAACUCUGUUGCUUGGUAGUUAAAGGACAAUAAUUCUAUUCUUAGUGUGUUGGUUAUUGAAUCAUCAUUCUAAGAUUGAUCGUGCUACCUAGUCCAUUCUCCCGGUUCACUCCUCGAUCGAUGAGUUAGGAUUAUUUCAAAUUCUUACUCUAUUGAUCAUAUCGUCUUGCCCUGAAAAGCAAGAUUGUUCUCGAGCUUAGUAACAUAUCGGUGGUUCGUGAUUUUCUGAAUGUCUUCUCGGAAGUAUCACCAGGUCGUCACCUGACCGUUAUGUUGAGCUCGUGAUCAAGUUGGUUUCUUGUGAACCACCCUUUCUCCAAGAUUCUGUGUUGGAUAUCCCGGAGCUAGUUGGUUAAGCUAGACAACAACUUGGAGAGUUGGAAGAUAAAAGCUUGUCUGACUUAGUUCGUUCCAAAGGGAUAUUCUUGUGUAGUGUGUGUUGAAGAAAGAUGAUAUCUUCAGCGAUUGGUCCCUGUGAUCAGUUGCUGGAUCUAUUGUCUUAUCAAUCCUUUGAUUUGAGUGUGGGCUAUCGUCAAAUCAAAUCAGAACCAACGAUAUUCGUAAUGUUGUCUUACUCGUGGUUGAUUCCUCGAGCAUACACCAUUAUAUCUUUGGUCUGACCAAUGCUAUCACCGUGUUCACUUAACUAUGGAAAUCCUUUUAAAAGGAAACCUAGAUGAAUUGUUGUUGAGCCCAUUGACAACAUCCUUAUCUCCUCCAUAACUUUGUUGAACAUUAAGCUAGUGUUGGAAAUUUUUGAAAGCAUUUGUUCAUGCUAGCUCAUGAAGCAUAUGUUUGGAUGAAGGUAGUGACUUCCUUUAAUUCAUGUGCAUCUGGUGAAAGUUGCCGCCGUGAAUUUGAGAAAGCUAGUUUUGUUUCCUUGGAAUCAUCCCAAAUCAGUCAUGCACACGUGCGAAGUAUUCUGUGGUCUGGAGACUUGCAACCUUCAUUCCAUAUGUGUCCCGAGCACACCAAGCCACUGAUUGAUUUGUUCAAGGAGAAGAAGUUCCUUCAUAAGAGCUAAUCAUAUGACUUAUGCAAGGACUUCGUUAUCCACGGUGAUGGUUCCCAACCAGAACUCGGUAGUGUUUUAUUGUAAGACUACCACGUGGUCAUGCUUGUCCGGGACAACGUGUUCACAUGUUGUAGCAGAACCAGCUUAUGUUUUGGAGCUUACUAUCAUAGUUCAUUUUCCGAGAAUCUCACAACGUCAUCUCGUCGAUUUGUGUUGCAAACUUUCAUUUUUCUUUCUAGACUUGAUGAGUCUGGGAUAUCCUGACACCAACCAGAUCUGAAUCUCAGGCAGAUGUGAUGGUUGGAACAUUUCCCAAGAACUAUAAUAUUGGUCUCUCGAUAACCGGUAAGGUGGAUGUCGUGGCCAACACACCCAUCCGGUAGACCUAUUAUUAUAGCAUCUUAUUUGAUGAAAUUGGCCACCUCCCCAUAGGGACUUCGUAGGAUUUACUCCCUCGUUGACCCUAUGGAUCUUUGUGUUCCCGAAGUCCGACUUUUACUUGAUGUUCUAGAUACCAAACCAUUUCAAUGAAUGGGGUACACUAGCACGUCAAGGAGAACAUUAGAAGCGGAGUGCUAAAUGUCUCUCGGUCGAUCAUCCAGAUUUUAUUUCCUUGGCCUCGCUAGGGUGAAAUCUGAGAAGGUGUUAUCUUCCUUUGCAUCUGCAUCCUCCAUCACCAUUCAUCAUGGUAGUAAGUUGUGUUAUCGGACCCUUGACACGGAUGUUGGUAAAACCUUGAUGAUUGUGGAAAUGCCCAAGUUCUUGAGAGCACGCACAAGCGCUACGUCUUAUCAUCGGCACUAGCUGGGAUUGCCCCAGAUUUCCUCGGUUAUGCUAUAACCACUUCAACAGUGAAUUCACUCUCUAUUGUUGGGUUCUUUCCCAGUUACCAGAAUCAUUCCCAGCAUUUGCAUUUUGUUCCCAGCUUGCACCGCCAAUGUGUCAUUCUACCAUGGGUCUCUUCCAUUUACGGUGAUAAGCAAAAUUCAUCCAUUACGUUGUCUUCAACAAGGUAAUCCACAUCAUCCAAGUUUGAGUAUGCCAUUCUAUCGAACCCCUCUAAAUGAUCGAUUAUGAUUUGCCUUAAGCUGGUAUAAAGAGUUUCAAUGAUCUCUGAAUCAAAGGUAAUUCUUUUGCCACUUAAGGGGAGAUAUCUACGAAUCACGGUUCCGAAGGUGUCUCGUUGUGGUAUCAUGGCAACUCAACUCCUCGCUACGUUGACAACCGAUUACCACCUUUUUAAGUGUGGAAUUGCUGUCCACCUAGUGAACCUUCAUCAUCUGUUUCUUUCCACCCCUCUUGAUGUGUAUCUCGUGUCUCAACCGAGAGAUGGUUCUAUGUCUCAUUCCGGGAGUUAAUCCUGAGUUGUUCGAUCUUCGAGAAGACCGAUCCUUCUAGAGUUUUCCUUUCCUCUUCUCGUCAGGAUUAGCUGAAGUUCUCAGAGCAAGACGACAAGACAAAGAUGGUGUUCAAAUCAACGUUCAACUGAAGUGCAACCUGGAUCGUGAAGAUUGUACUAGUUGCGUUCCCCUUCAUCCUACCCUACGCUUGAAUCUCGAGACGAGAUUCUUGUUUAGUGGGGGUGAGUUGUCACAUCCCUAGCUUUACCCUGGCCUUGGACUAGCUUGGUUGCUGCAUCAUGUUUAAAUUCAAAUGAAAUUUGAAUUGAGGAAUAUUGGAAGCCUCAAAACCCUAAAUAAAAGAGGGGCAAAAACCCUAGAAAUCUCAUUCAUUGCUCCAAAAUGCUCCUCUUAAAUGUUUGAUAAUUUUUGGUAAGGGUUCUGGUCCCAACCAAAAUAUUGAACAUUUUUAAGGAUUUAUUUUUGGGACUUUGAAUUUAAAUCAUUAGCUAUUUGAAUUUGAAUUAUAUUCAUAUAAUUAGAAUAUAAUUUCAAAUAUCCCUGAAAUAUUUUAUAAGCUUUUGGAAAAGUCCAUCUAGCAAUAUAAAAUACUCAGUGGAGUUUUUGGCAUUGUUUGAAUUAUUUUUAAAUUCAAAACAGUGGCAAAAGAAUUAAAUAAAAACAAAACAGAACAGAAAAAUAUAACACAGAAAUUACCUGGACCUUACCUAGCAGCCACCCACAGCCCAACACUGUGCAGCCCACCUGCGCAGGCCCAGCCCACCUCCUCCCCCUUGUCUUCUUCCUCCCCUCGCACCGAAGCAGCUCGGUGGCGAGCGCCGACGCUGCCUCGGCCACCUCCUGCUUCCUCUCGUCGCCCUGGACUCCGUCCGCAACGCCACGCAGCCCCUGGCCCUUCUCACUCCCUCUGGACCGCUCCCCCUCCCCUGGCUCUCUCUUUUCCCUCUCUUCCUGUGAUCCCCGAACGCACCUGGGAGCGCCGCUCGCCGUAGCCAUGACCACGGCCACCCCCUCCCCUCUCCGACGUGCUCCCGAGCUCCUGCACCUCGUCGCCAACCCCCUCACCGAGCCACGUGACCGGAAGGGCCCCGAGCAGCCGCCAUCGUCAUCAUCCCCAAGCUCCGGCCCGGCGCCGUUCUCCGUCGAAUUCGGCCACUCCGGCGCGCCCCCGAGCCCACUGACCCUCCCUACAGCUCCGCGGUGAGCCUCUGUGCAGAACCCCUCUCUCUCCCCUCGUGUUUGCGAGCCCUAGGCCAUAGUUCCGUCGAGACCGAGACCUCACCGGCGCCGGACUUGUCGCCGUCGUCGUUUUGGUUCACCUCCGUCCAAACCGAGCACGCAGACGUACUCAGAGCACUCCCAGGAGUCCGUAGCACGCCCCAGCCCCUCCUGCCGUGCUCCCUAACGCCGACUCCGAGCUCACCCGAGCUCCGGCCGCCGCCUCGCUCGCCGUCGGCACCGAUUCCGGCCGCCCCGAGUGCAACUGACUCCACCAGGAGCUUCGGCUCGUCCCCAGCUCCUCCUAGAUGCCCUCCGCGGCCCAUUUGGUCGCCGGAGUGGCCAAAACCACUCUCGCCGCCGCGCUAAUGGUCGCCGCCGGCGAAACUCCGGCAGGAGCCGACGUGGCCAGUCAUUAGGGCCUAACUACCCCGCUAACCAACCCCCUAGGCCACUGACAGUGGGCCCCAGGGCUUAGUCAGAGCUAACCAGCCCGGGUCAACGCGGGAUUAGUCCCUGUGUCACUGACCAGUGGACCCCACUGGUCAGGUUUGACCCGGGGCAGCCCUGUUGACUUGCUGACGCAAGCAUGACGCAGUGCUGAUGUUAUAAUUAAUUUUCUGGAAUUGUUUUAAUUCUAAAUAAUCAGAAAAUUCCAGAAAAUGUCUAAAACUUCUAAAAAUCAUAGAAAAUUAACCGUAACUCCAAAUUAAAUAAUUUAUAUAUGAAAAAUUAUCAGAAAAAUUCAAGGAAUCCAUAUGUACCAUUUUCAUGCAUGUUAGAACAACUUAUCACUACUGUUUAGAGCAAAUGAAGUGAAUGGCAUUUAAAUAAUCAUAUAUGGAGUUUGAAUUUGAAUCUUGUAUUCAAACCAACUUCAUUUAAUCUGGUUUUAGAUGCAUUAGCCCAAAACACAUUCAUUUUGCCAUGUCAUAGCAUGCAUCAUAUUGUGCAUUGCAUUGAUCGUGUUUUUCUGUAUUGCCGGUAUUUGCCCCCUCUCGAUAGACGUGUACCGAUGAUGUGAUCGUUGACACUGAUGAAGACUCAAUGUUAUCUUCAGAAGUGCCAGGCAAGCAAAACCCCCUUGUUCAUUCCGAUACAAUCCUACUCUCUCGCUCCUGCUCUCUUUUACUGCAUUAGGACAACACCGAUUCAUCUGUUACUUGCUGCGGUAGCUGAACCCCUUUAUCCUCUGCAUGACCUGUCAUUCCACAGUAAAUAGAUGAAACCCACUAGCAUGAGUAGGAGUUGUUUGAGCCCUGUUGUGCCUACUCAUUCAUGCUUGUUUGUCAUGCCUGCUACUGCUUAGAGUUGAGUCGGGUCUGAAUCAUCGGGGAUGAAUCAGAGGUGUGUGAACAUGUCCUACUGUGUGUGAGCUAAGUGUGUGAACACGAUUUGGUAAAGGUAGCGGUGAGAGGCCAUGUAGGAGUACAUGGUGGGUUGUCUCAUUGCAGCCGUCCUCAGGAACUGAGUUCUGUGUUUGUGAUCCAUGAUUCAGCUACUACCACGCAUUGGGCCCGAAACCAAUGGACCCUCUCGGCUUCUUAAUCACCCUUGUCCUCUGUCCAGGAGUUGCAAGUAGUUUCUGGUGUUUGUAGUAUGCUGGAGGCCGUGGACAGCGCUGACCGUAGGGGUGGGCUGUGAUGCGGUAGGCACGUGGCCGGGUAAACCGGGCACCCGUUUGGUGUCACGGAACCCUGUACACAUCGUUUGGGGCUGUGAGCGAAACUCCGGCCGGAUCUCCUCAUGGAUGGAACCUGAAUAGGCGAUAAACCUGGACUAGAGACUUGAGUGUUUAGGUAGGCCGUGGCCGACACCCACGUUGGGCUUCCGCUUGAAGGUUGUCGAGUACAUGUCGUGUAAACGACGGUAAGUGGUGAGAGCGUGUGUGAAGAAGUACACCCCUGCAGGGUUAACAUCAUCUAUUCGAAUAGCCGUGUCCACGGAGAAGGACUUCUGGGUUGCUUAUAUCAGUUCAUAGACAAGUGAAAGUGGAUACUCUAAAAUACGCAAGAUAAGCGUGAGUGCUAUGGAUGGCGUUCUCGUAGGGAGACGGGAGCGGAUCCAUAGUGGUGUAUUGAUAUGGUGAAUAUGUGGACUCGUGUGCGCCACCUCAAAAGAGUUACUCGCAGUCGUAGUUUAGGAUAGCCACCGAGUCAAAGCUGACUUGCUGCAGUUAAACCCCACCAUCCCCUUGUUGAAAAUGAUGCAUAUGUAGUUAGUUCUGAUGUAAGUCUUGCUGGGUACAUUUGUACUCACGUUUGCCUAUUUAUGUUUUGCAGAGAGACUUCGGUCUCGCUAGUAGUUCCGCGUGGACUUCGACGUUUAGCUUGUUACCUCAGCUACGAUCUUGUGCCCUCGGCAGGAUCUGAUAGAUAGUCAGGCUUCUCAGCCCUUUUCAUUUAUAGAUGUCUGUACUCAGACAUGAUAGCUUCCGCUUGUGUUUUGACUUGUAUGCUCUGAUUGUUGGGUCAUGAGACCCAUGUUUGUAAUAUCUCGCUCCUCGGAGCCUAUUGAAUAAACUACUUGAGUCGUAGAGUCAUUUUGUGAUGCCAUGUUGUAUUGCACAUAUCGAGCAUAUUGUGUGUAUGUUAUUGAAAUGCUUGGUAUGUGUGGGAUCUGACUAUCUAGUUGUUUAUCUUUAGUAGCCUCUCUUACCGGGGAAUGUCUCCUAGUGUUACCGCUGAGCCAUGGUAGCUUGCUACUACUCUGGAACACUUAGGCUGGCCGGCAUGUGUCCUUCUUCGUUCCUGUGUCUGUCCCUUCGGGGAAAUGUCACGCUUUGAGUACCGGAGUCCUGUUAGCCCGCUACAGCCCGGUUUACCGGAGUCCUGCUAGCCCAGUGCUACAGCCCGGACCCACUUGCUAAUGACCGACACGUUCGAAGCUGGGUCAUGAAUGCCUGUCCCUGUAAGUCUGUGCCACUUUGGGUUUACGACUAGCCAUGUCAGCCCGGGCUCCUUAUCAUAUGGAUGCUAGCGACACUAUCAUAUACGUGAGCCAAAAGGCGCAAACGGUCCCGGGCAAAGGUAAGACGACACCCGUGGGGAUACCGUGCGUGAGGCCGCAAAGUGAUAUGAGGUGUUACCGGCUAGAUCGAUGUGACAUCGAGUCGGGGUCCUGACACGGGGUGGCCCGCGGCGACGGCGUCGGGGCGGCGCGGGGUGGCGACGGCGUUGGGGCGGCGCGGGGUGGCGACGGCGUCUGGGCUCGAGGGNNNNNNNNNNNNNNNNNNNNNNNNNNNNNNNNNNNNNNNNNNNNNNNNNNNNNNNNNNNNNNNNNNNNNNNNNNNNNNNNNNNNNNNNNNNNNNNNNNNNNNNNNNNNNNNNNNNNNNNNNNNNNNNNNNNNNNNNNNNNNNNNNNNNNNNNNNNNNNNNNNNNNNNNNNNNNNNNNNNNNNNNNNNNNNNNNNNNNNNNNNNNNNNNNNNNNNNNNNNNNNNNNNNNNNNNNNNNNNNNNNNNNNNNNNNNNNNNNNNNNNNNNNNNNNNNNNNNNNNNNNNNNNNNNNNNNNNNNNNNNNNNNNNNNNNNNNNNNNNNNNNNNNNNNNNNNNNNNNNNNNNNNNNNNNNNNNNNNNNNNNNNNNNNNNNNNNNNNNNNNNNNNNNNNNNNNNNNNNNNNNNNNNNNNNNNNNNNNNNNNNNNNNNNNNNNNNNNNNNNNNNNNNNNNNNNNNNNNNNNNNNNNNNNNNNNNNNNNNNNNNNNNNNNNNNNNNNNNNNNNNNNNNNNNNNNNNNNNNNNNNNNNNNNNNNNNNNNNNNNNNNNNNNNNNNNNNNNNNNNNNNNNNNNNNNNNNNNNNNNNNNNNNNNNNNNNNNNNNNNNNNNNNNNNNNNNNNNNNNNNNNNNNNNNNNNNNNNNNNNNNNNNNNNNNNNNNNNNNNNNNNNNNNNNNNNNNNNNNNNNNNNNNNNNNNNNNNNNNNNNNNNNNNNNNNNNNNNNNNNNNNNNNNNNNNNNNNNNNNNNNNNNNNNNNNNNNNNNNNNNNNNNNNNNNNNNNNNNNNNNNNNNNNNNNNNNNNNNNNNNNNNNNNNNNNNNNNNNNNNNNNNNNNNNNNNNNNNNNNNNNNNNNNNNNNNNNNNNNNNNNNNNNNNNNNNNNNNNNNNNNNNNNNNNNNNNNNNNNNNNNNNNNNNNNNNNNNNNNNNNNNNNNNNNNNNNNNNNNNNNNNNNNNNNNNNNNNNNNNNNNNNNNNNNNNNNNNNNNNNNNNNGUUUUUUGCUUUAUUUUUUAAUUCUUUUUGCUUUCAGUUUUAGAAAAAUUAUAAACUUUCUGUUAGUGCCAUUAGUUUUCAAAUCUGAAAACUCUUUUUUUGUUUCCUUUGUUGCUUUAUUUAUUUUAUUUUGUUUCUACUUACAACAAAAUACUUAUUGUUGCUAUUUUUUUAGUUUUUUGUUCUGUUUUCUGCAUUAUUUAUUUUUUGUUGUUUUUUGCUUUAUUUUUUAAUUCUUUUUUGCUUUUAGUUUUAGAAAAAUUAUAAACUUUCUGUUAGUGCCAUUAGUUUUCAAAUUUGGAAACUCUUUUUUUGUUUUUUUUGUUGCUUUAUUUAUAAACCGGUGCGAGCGCCCUUCGGUUGGCGAGGUUUUAAAAUUCAUAGUUUUCAAAUGAACUCUGAAAAAGUUGGCAUAGCAUGUGCAUGUACAAAACGGACAAUGGUAUCAUACUCGUCUGUUACAAAGUUGGCAUGUUAUCAUCAUAAUAGUUGCGGGAGAAAGUCUUCACUUUUUCUUCGCUUGUGUCGUUUGCUUAUUGCGCCGUAACCAUGGAUAAUCUUCAUCGUUUAUCAGGAUGCUUGGGUCAGCCUUGACUUUGAAGGGGGGAAUUUCAUGAAACUUUUCAUACUCUUCAGACAUGUCUGUCUUGCCCUCCACUCCCAGGAUGUCCCUUUUUCCUGAAAGAACUAUGUGGCACUUUGGCUCAUUGUAUGAUGUAUUCGCUUCCUUAUCUUUUCUUUUCCUCGGUCUGGUAGACAUGUCCUUCACAUAGAUAACAUGUGCCACAUCAUUGGCUAGGACGAACGGUUCGUCAGUGUACCCAAGAUUUUUCAGAUCCACUGUGGUCAUUCCGUACUGUGGGUCUACCUGUACCCCGCCUCCUGACAGAUUGACCCACUUGCACUUAAACAAAGGUACCUUAAAAUCUAUUCCGUAGUCAAGUUCCCAUAUGUCUGCUAUGUAACCAUAAUAUGUGUCAUUUCCAUUGUCGGUUGCUGCAUCAAAGCGGACACCGCUAUUUUGGUUGGUGCUCUUUUCAUCUUGGUCAAUCGUGUAAAAUGUAUUCCCAUUUAUCUCGUAUCUUUUCCAAAUCAUUACAGUCGAAGAUGGUCCCCUGGACAACAAGUACAGCUCAUCACAAAUAGUGCUGUCACCUCUGAGACGUGUUUCCAACCAACUGCUGAAAGUCCUGAUGUGUUCACAUGUAAUCCAGUCGUCGCACUGCUCCGGGUGUUUGGAGCGCAGACUGUUCUUGUGUUCGUCGACAUACGGGGUCACCAAGGUAGAGUUCUGUAGAACUGUAUAGUGUGCUUGAGACCAAGAAUAUCCGUCCCUGCAUAUUAUUGAGUCCCUUCCAAGCGUGCCUUUUCCAGUCAGUCUCCCCUCAUACCGCGAUUUAGGGAGACCUAUCUUCUUAAGGCCAGGAAUGAAGUCAACACAAAACCCGAUGACAUCCUCUGUUUGAUGGCCCAUGGAGAUGCUUCCUUCUGGCCUAGCGCGGUUACGAACAUAUUUCUUUAGGACUCCCAUGAACCUCUCAAAGGGGUACAUAUUGUGUAGAAAUACGGGUCCCAGAAUGACAAUCUCGUCGACUAGAUGAACUAGGACGUGCGUCAUGAUAUUGAAGAAGGAUGGUGGGAACACCAGCUCGAAACUGACAAGACAUUGCGCCACAUCACUCCUUAGCGUUGGUACGAUUUCUGGAUCGAUCACCUUCUGAGAUAUUGCAUUGAGGAAUGCACAUAGCUUCACAAUGGCUAGUCGGACGUUUUCCGGUAGAAGCCCCCUCAAUGCAACCGGAAGCAGUUGCGUCAUAAUCACGUGGCAGUCAUGAGACUUUAGGUUCUGAAACUUUUUCUCUGGCAUAUUUAUUAUUCCCUUUAUAUUCGACGUGAAGCCAGUCGGGACCUUCAUACUGAGCAGGCAUUGAAAGAAUAUUUCUUUCUCUUCUUUCGUAAGAGCGUAGCUGGCAGGACCUUUAUACUGCUUCGGAGGCAUGCCCUCUUUUUCGUGCAAGCGUUGCAGGUCCUCUCGUGCCUCAGGUGUAUCUUUUGUCUUCCCAUACACGCCCAAGAAGCCUAGCAGGUUCACGCAAAGGUUCUUCGUCACGUGCAUCACGUCGAUCGAAGAGCGGACCUCUAGGUAUUUCCAGUAGGGUAGGUCCAAAAAUAUAGAUUUCUUCUUCCACAUGGGUGCGUGAUUCUCAGCGUCAUUCAGAACAGCUAGUCCGCCGGGACCCUUUCCAAAGAUUACGUGUAAAUCAUUGACCAUAGCAAGUACGUGAUCACCGGUACGCAUGGCGGGCUUCUUCCGGUGAUCUGCCUCGCCUUUGAAAUGCUUGCCUUUCUUUUGACAUUGAUGGUUGGUCGGAAGAAAUCGACGAUGGCCCAGGUACACAUUCUUCCUGCAGCUUGCCAGGUAUAUACUAUCGGUGUCAAGUAAACAGUGCGUGCAUGCGUGGUAUCCCUUGUUUGUCUGUCCUGAAAGGUUACUGAGAGCGGGCCAAUCAUUGAUGGUCACGAACAGCAACGCCUUUAGGUUAAAUUCCUCCUGUUUGUGCUCAUCCCACGUACAUACACCGUUUCCAUUCCACAGCUGUAAAAGUUCUUCAACUAAUGGCCUUAGGUACACAUCAAUGUCGUUGCCGGGUUGCUUAGGGCCUUGGAUGAGAACUGGCAUCAUAAUGAACUUCCGCUUCAUGCACAUCCAAGGAGGAAGGUUAUACAUACAUAGAGUCACGGGCCAGGUGCUGUGAUUGCUGCUCUGCUCCCCGAAAGGAUUAAUGCCAUCCGCGCUUAAAGCAAACCAUACGUUCCUUGGGUCCUUUGCAAACUCAUCCCAGUACUUUCUCUCAAUUUUUCUCCACUGCGACCCGUCAGCGGGUGCUCUCAACUUCCCGUCUUUCUUACGGUCCUCACUGUGCCAUCGCAUCAACUUGGCAUGCUCUCCGUUUCUGAACAGACGUUUCAACCGUGGUAUUAUAGGAGCAUACCACAUCAUCUUCGCAGGAACCCUCUUCCUGGGAGGCUCGCCGUCAACAUCACCAGGGUCAUCUCGUCUGAUCUUAUACCGCAAUGCACCGCAUACCGGGCAUGCGUUCAGAUCCUUGUAGGCACCGCGGUAGAGGAUGCAGUCAUUAGGGCAUGCAUGUAUCUUCUCAACCUCCAAUCCUAGAGGGCAUACGACCUUCUUUGCUGCGUAUGUACUGUCGGGCAAUUCGUUAUCCUUUGGAAGCUUCUUCUUCAUUAUUUUUAGUAGCUUCUCAAAUCCUUUAUCAGGCACGGCAUUCUCUGCCUUCCACUGCAGCAAUUCGAGUACGGUACCGAGCUUUGUGUUGCCAUCUUCGCAAUUGGGGUACAACCCCUUUUUGUGAUCCUCUAACAUGCGAUCGAACUUCAGCUUCUCCUUUUGACUUUCGCAUUGUGUCCUUGCAUCGACAAUGACCCGGCGGAGAUCAUCAUCAUCGGGCACAUCGUCUGGUUCCUCUUGAUCUUCAGCAGCUUCGCCCGUUGCAGCACCAUCGUGCACAUCGUCUGGUGCAUCUUGAUGUUCAGUAGCAUCACCGUAUUCAGGGGGCACAUAGUUGUCAUCGUACUCUUCUUCCUCGCCGUCUUCCAUCAUAACCCCUAUUUCUCCGUGCCUCGUCCAAACAUUAUAGUGUGGCAUAAAACCCUUGUAAAGCAGGUGGGUGUGAAGGAUUUUCCGGUCAGAGUAAGACUUUGUAUUCCCACAUAUAGGGCAUGAACAACACAUAAAACCAUUCUGCUUGUUUGCCUCAGCCACUUCGAGAAAAUCAUGCACGCCCUUAAUACACUCGGAGGUGUGUCUGUCACCGUACAUCCAUUGCCGGUUCAUCUACGUGCAUUAUAUAUAAUUAAGUGUGUCAAAAAUCAUUACAGAACAUCAUGAAUAGAUAAUUAAGUGACCAAAUUAAUAGAAGUUCAUCAUCACAUAAAAACCAAAGUAGAUACAUAGUUCUCAUCUAACAACAUAAAGCUCUGCAGAGCAUCUAAAUUAAUUAAACCAUACAUUGAAACUAUGUAAAACAUUUCAAUGCGAAAACAAAUGCGAUCAUAAUCGCAACCAAGGUAACAACUGAUCCAACGGCAUAAUGAUACCAAGCCUCGGUAUGAAUGGCAUAUUUUCUAAUCUUUCUCAUCUUCAAGCGCAUUGCAUCCAUCUUGAUCUUGUGAUCAUCGAUGACAUCCGCAACAUGCAACUCCAAUAUCAUCUUCUCCUCCUUAAGUUUUUUUAUUUUUUCCUUCAAGAAAUUGUUUUCUUCUUCAACUAAAUUUAACCUCUCGACAAUAGGGUCGGUUGGAAUUUCCGGUUCAACAACCUCCUAGAUAAAUAAAAUCUAGGUCACGUUGGUCGGCAUAAUUUUCAUAAACAAUAAAUGAACCAAUAGUUAUGAAAAGAUAAUAUAUAUCACAUCCGAAUCAUAGACAUGACGAGGGCCGACGGGGGCGGAUACCAAAACCAUCGGCGCACUAUAUAAGAUGCAAUAAUAAAAGUAAGAAAAUAAUACAAGUAUCUAUCUAAACAAACAAGUAAUAACAUUUUUCCUUUCAGAAAGAAGAUAAGAACAAGAGGCUCACCACGGUGGUGCCGGCGAUGAGAUCGGCGCGGGUGAUCGACGGCGGUGAAGACGGGGACGGGGCGUGACAGAGCGCUAAACCUAGAUAAAUAUUGAGGAAAAUGGAGCUUGGCGGUCGAGCUUGGAGAGGAGAAACCUUAAGUAGUGUGGCUCGGGCAUACCAUCGAACACCUUGUGUGCAUAGGAGGUGAGCUAGAGCACCACCAAGCCUUCUCCCCCUCGGCCAGAAAAAACAGAGCAGUGUGCUCUGCUCUUGCGCGAGGGGCUAUAUAUAGGCAGAACCAUUGGUCCCGGUUGGUGGCAUGAACCGGGACUACAGGUAACCCUUUGGUCCCGGUUAAUGCCACCAACCAGGACCAAUAGUGGUGGGCCAGGAGCCAGGACCAUUGGUCCCGGUUCGUCCCACCAACCGGGACCAAAAGGUUCGGACGAACCGGGACCAAUGGCCCACGUGGCCCGGCCGUCCCCCUGGGCUCACGAACCGGGGCAAAUAGCUCCAUUGGUCCCGGUUCUGGAUUGAACCGGGACUAAUGGGCUAAACUGGCCUGGACGAAAGCCCUGUUUUCUACUAGUGUAACAUGGUAAUUCCAUUACUACAUCCAUGUGGUAAAUCGAUCGUAAAAAAGGGCAAAAAUGUAGUAAUGUCAUUACUAUCUACCCUAACAGUAAAUCGUUGGUAACAGAGAAAAAUCUAGUAACGCCAUUACUACAUACCUCCUUAAAUCGAUAGUAACAAAGGUAAAAAUAUGUAGUAAUGUCAUUACUACCUACCUCAUGGUAGCUAAUACCAACCAACUUGUACUGAGUCUGCACGGAAUAGUAACAACAUUACUUGCAUUGACUGUCCACAUAUGGUUGCUAGUAACGAUAUAUAUAUAUGUUCGCUAAACUGAGCCUGGGCGUAUGAUAAGUUUAACGUACUCUCCGGCCACCCACUGGUGCGAGCGCGCAGUCUAACCCAACCUCCCUCCUCCGCUCAUGAGUCUCCCUUGGCAAGAGCCACUUAUUGGAUCAUAAUUAAUCGUGGUAAUGUCGUAACGAAUAAAAUAACUGGGCAGCCUGUAGUGUGCUCCAAGCCCAUCGUAAAUUAGAUAAUGAUACGUAGUAACCGGUUACUACAUGGUAACACAGUUACCAUCACUACACGGUUUCACAAUUACCAUCAUUACAUAGUAAUGUGUUACUACAUGAUUACAAGAGGAAGGCACUUGUAGUAAAUAUUACAUAUAUUACCAUGUUUCAUAGGUUUACGAUGCUACAGACUGAACGCUAGUUCAUCCAAAGUGGUAAAGCAUUACCAUUUCAUCAACCAAUUUUACUGUCAAAAUUAGCGACGGUUGUAAGCAGGACAUACAUGAACCAGUAAAGCAUUACUGUUUCUUCUAUGAAUUUUACCUUCGUUCAUGAGCGGAUGAGGAGGUUAGAGCGGCCUGCCUAAUUAGGACCUGCGCGUAUGAUAAGGAAUUAUGCGCGCUCGCGCAAUUUAGCGCUACCGUAAAUGACGAAUAUUACUCCCUUGAAGCUAAAAUUGAUGAUUAAGCAAACUAGUACUAGACUAGAGCAGAAGGUCAGAAAUGUGCUCAUUCGACACAUGUGUUCUGUUGAAGUGGCACCUGCAGUUUGACCUUUUUGAAAUGGUCGAUGCUUUUUUUUGAAAGUUGUAGCUCUGUGCUUAUGUGUUUCUAGAUUUUCAUUAAUACAUUUUUAAAGAAUUCUAUUGUGCCUGUAUGCAGUUGAAGAGUCAAGGAGUUCAAAGCGCUGUUUUUGCAUGUUAACUGUGAUGGUGAAGUAAUGACUUAUAGUUUCGUCUUGCUCAAACCCGCACAACGAACAUGGUAGAAGGAACUGCAAAACACAAAAUAAAAAGAAAACAUUUGGAAAUCUGCUUAUAUUUAGAAACAUAAAAUAAAAAGACAUUUUGCAUAACAUAUACGCAAUUUGUGUUUUGUUUUUGAAACAGCUAAUCUCCUUACCAUGUUAUAAUCUUGCAGUUUUUCUUCUUCUUGCAUGUUGAAAAACGAUCUGAGCCUUGCAGGUAGUAACUUUUUUGUAAUGUGUUGUUGAUCAUUAUUUUUGUAGCACAUUGGAUCUUCGUCGUCGGCUUCCCUUAUUGAGUGAUGUUUGUUUCGUCACAGAUAUACAAAGGGAAUUUGUCAGUUCAGCUAUAGGGGAAGUUUAUCUAUUUAUAAAGUCAUAUAUAUUGUUUUAAACGUGAUUCUUUUGCCGUGAUAUUUACUUACAGUGCUGCUUAACGACAGAAUCUUUCUCCGUAUGUCAUUGAGUUGUUUUCUCAAGAUUGUUAGCAUGGGCUCGAUUGCUUCAGUGCGUACUGAUUUACCGACCUUGAAGCUUUCGGAGACAUGGCCUAGAUUUACAUCAAACUUGUUCGUUGUAAUGAAAAAUUGAUCCCUGCAAAGUAUAUUUAGAAAAAUGUUUUAGUUCACACAUGAUACAGUCAAAAUGAUCGUGUGUAAAAAUGUUUUCUGUGUUAGUUGCAUGAACUUACAUUUCCCUCUUUGUCCAUGGCUUGCAUACAACGUUGUACAGGUCAUCGAUGUCUUUGUUGACGGAAUCGCUAUCUUUGCCCCCUUUCUCCAUUGUGCCUGCGAUGAUUUUGAAUUUAAUGUAAAUAAUUCCAAGUCACAAAGAUCACAAGAUAGCAAUUAUUUUUCUAUUGUCUUGCCUGCUUCGAUGUUGGAAGAUAUGUCAUGUCCAGUGUUGUUCUUUUAUUGUUCUCCUUCUGCUUCCUGCGGCAUAUUUUGUUCUUCUUUUCGCGUUGUACCCUUUUGUUCAGAUUCUGCUCCAUCCUUAUUUGAGUCGUCUGCUCCAGAAAUAUUUAUCGAAGAAAUUGAUAUAUCUAGACAUAUUGUAGUACACAUCCACUUUUAUUCGUUUCUUCGACGAAUAUUUAUGGACAGAGGGAGUACUCAAUAAGAAUUUUUUUUCUCUAACCCUAGACAGCUAGAGCGAACUCUCGAGCAACAAUCCUAUGGAUUAGCCUCUCUCUGCCUGUUGCUCUGUCGGUCGAUGGCGGGAAGAGGAAUCCUGAUGCAUUCGCUCCGGUUUGUAGUUUAGGUUUGGUUUUUUAGCCCUCGCAGUUGCGACGCUCGGGUGGAUGAUGACACUUCUUCUUUGAGUUUGCCUUCCAGACUCCGAUCCUCCUCGAGUUCGUACGUCUGGGUGUAAUCGGUAGAGCUCCGACGUAGAUUCAUGUCGUCUUCUUGGGGCGGUGAGGUUGGGUUUCUCGUCAUGUGGUGAGAUUUGAUGUUAGCUGCUUCAGAUCUAUGUCAAGAUUCAACGGUGGCGACUGUGGCUCCAAGGUGUUGGUCCUUUGGCACGUGCAUGAAGACUUUCGAACUGUCUACAAUGUCAAGUCGACUCCGGCAGGGAAGCGACGACAUCGGUGCAUCGGCGACUCAUUUUGGCGGCAAUAAUGGUCGUUCGAUAGUCUCAAAAUUUUAAUAUAAUUUUUAUUAUGUUUGAGAUGCUUUGUACUUUCGAUGAACUUUUACAAUAGAUUCUAUCAUUUUAGGAAAAAAAUGUUAGUUUGUCCUCAUUUUCCAGGAUUUCGAUGAGUUACACAAUGCAUAGGUGUUGUAGUUUGAUGGGGCCGUAUCUGGCCGUGUAUGGACGCGACAUUUGCUGCCCACCUCUAGAGUUGCUGCACUCAUACGUGCUUGCUCCGAUUACAGACAGAAAAAAAAAUCUUUUAGCCUAAGUUAGGAGCUACAAAUAAUGUACCUAUGGAAUCAAAAACAUACAGUAGUUCAAUAAUGAUGGCAGUAGACGCGGCGUCGGACCACGGGAGCACCUAUGUGACGCAUUUUGCGUCAAAAGGACGUUCUUUCGCACAAGCUGUGCGCGACAGGGCCGGCCCAUUGAACUCACUCAAGCAGUCGGGACAAAAAUGGGUAAAAAGAAAAGAGCGCCCAUGUGGAAUUAGAACUACAGACCACUAGUUUGUGAACGCGUCGUGCUAACCACACCAUCUACUAAGCCUUCAUGACAAAUGUGUGGCCCGAAUUCAAAUGAACUAAAAACAGCGGCAUAAAUUGAGCAUUGCGUAAAAAUGUAAACACUUUUUUGAAAUUACGAAUACUUUUUGGCAAACGUGAACCAAAAUUUUAAUUUUCGAACAUCUUUUGGAACUGCAAAGAAAUUAUAAAUUUCCGAACAUUUUUUGAAAUUGUAAAAAAAACUUGAAAUUGUUUACAUCGUUUGAAAUAUAAACAAUUUUCUAUAACACAAAUAUUUUAAAAUUUCCCGAACUUUUUUUGUAAAAUAUAAAAAACCGAGUUGGUGAUGAUGGUGUGCCUGCCAUCUUGUAUUAUAGACCGUUCGAUCUAUAUCUGACGGAUAGAAAACAAACUAUGACAAUUUUACAAAAAUACCCGCACCUCUCAUCGCAUUUACAGAUAAGGCCUUGCCUCGUUCAUCCUUAUCUUCCACAACCUCAUUGCUGAGCAAUUAAAAAAAGAAGUCUCUGAAACAAUCUGGCAUGGUGACCGUUGCUGCUUGCCGGCGCCGUCCAUCCCCAUGCCUUCGCCCAGUCCGACCACCAGUCACCAUCACGCGCCCACUCCUCCUCACCUUAUCUCUCGUCUUUCUCGAGAUAUCAUUUUCUCGAUGAAAUUCCCGAGAUACCAUUUUCCCGAUGAAAUUCUCAAGAUACCAUUAGUUUUUACACAUGGGAUUUCUCCUGUAUGGGUCAAUCACAAUAGGUGUUUUAUAAAAAAUAAUGCAUCUUGAUGUUCCGUGCAAUGAACGAGCAUCUUGCUAGUUUUUGUAAAACAUAAUAAUUUUGCAACUUCCAGAACAUAAUGAAAAGGCCACCAUUUUUUAAUUGGUGAACAACAUAUGAAAAUGGGUGCAAUCUUUGAAAUGCAGAAAAAUAUUUUGAAUCUGAGAACAAUUUAAAAUCUUGAAGAUUUUUUGUACACGCGAACAAAAAUUGAAAAUGGAAACAUAUUUUGUAAAAUGUGUACAAAUUCUCCAAUUCUGCAGCAUUUUUGGAAAACACGAAUAAUUUUUAAAAUUGGCGAACAAAUUUUGAAAACAGGUACAAGUUUUGAAAUGAAAAAUAAAAUUUUGAACCUGUGAACAAUUUGAAAAUGCUGAAGAUUUUUUAUAUAUGUGAAUAAAAAAUUGAAAAUGGAAACAUUUUUUAAAAAUUCAUUUUAUUUGUAAAGCACGAGUUUUUUUCCAAAAUAUUUAUUGAAAAUGCAAGGAUUUUAUAAAUUUGCGAGUAAAAUUUGAAAUAGUGUACAACUUUUCAAAUAGAAUUUCUUUUUGAAUCGGAUAUAAUUUUAAAAUCCCAAAUAUUUUUUGUAUUAGCAAAAAUAUUGGAAAAUGGCAACAUUUUCUGAAAAUUUGUGAGUAAAUUUUGGAAAACAUGAACAUUUUCUAAAAAUCCGAGAUUUUUUUGAACGUGUGAACACAAUUGAAAAACGUAAAAGUUUUCUGAAUUUGCGAACAAAUUUUGAAAAUGGGAACAGUUUUCAAAUUUUGUGAACAAUUUUUUAAAAUGGUAACAUAUUUGAAAAUUCCUAAGCAAUAUCUAAUACGUGAACAACAUUUUAGAAUGCGAACAUUUUUUAAAUUUUGUACAAAUUUUGAAACUUGAAUGCAUUUUGAACAUUUUAACAAAUUUUGAAAACAGGAACAUAUUUCUUAAAACCGAACAUUUUUUGGUUUGUGAACAAAUUUAAAAAGUUGAAGAAUUUUGCAAAAUUUGAACAUUAUUUGAAAAUAAGCGAACAACUUUUGAAAUUCUAAACUUUUAUGAAAUUUCUGAACAAAAACUUGAAAACAUAAUCAUUUUUUGAAAAAACGAACAAAAUAUGACAAUUUCAAUUUUUAGAAAAUUUCUGAAACAUUCGUUCAAAAUAGAAAAAAAUAAAAAAAGAGAGCAAGAAGAUAGAAAAAAUGAAACAGAAAAAGAUAGAGAAAAACGAAAAGGAAAUAAAAUAAAAUGUAAAAAUAAAAAUAAAUAGAAAAGAAAAACCGGUUCAGGAACCUUCUACAAUGUUCCUUAAACCGGAAAAAACCCGCCUAGGAACAUUCAUAGAAGGUUCCUAGAAUCGUUAUGGUUGGAACGUGUAACAGGCCGGUCCACCUGCGAGCGCUCCGUCGAUAGGUGUGCGGAACCCCGAUAGGAUAUUCCGUAACUGCCAUCAUCCGCCAGAGCAGAGGUGGAUAUGCAUAUAGAGAGGAGCUGGGGGAGAGAAGUAGGGGGGAUGGGGCUACGACGGAGGCAUGACAGGCGGCCAGUCCACUGGCGGAGCUAGGUUAUGGCCGAAUGGCCAUGGCCCACCCACAUUUUUAUAAAAAUCAUAAAACUAUACAUAGGCCCAGCCCAUAAAGUACAGAGUACUAUAAAGGCAGCGACAAGAUUUAGCAUCAACUUCAGCCCGGCCCGCCCACCUUUCUAUUUGUAGCUCCGCCACUGGGCCAGUCGCGGCCAGGCGGCAGCGGCAGUGAAGCGGAAGGAUGGUUUGGUGCGAGAUUUGGGCGUUUCCUAUUUGGCGCUGCAGGCGCCAGUUAUAGCUCAUUUUGCAAACUGGCGCCUGCAGUGCUGGGAGCUGGGCCGGCCCAUCUAAGAUUUCCUGUUUUUCAAAACGAAAAAGAAGUACGCAUUGCGAGUUGAACAGGUGAUCUCCUCCCGCGAGCUACAAUGCACCAAUCACCCCGCCACCAGACCUCACAUGACAAAUUUCAUAUUUCCAUUCUUUUCAUCUUUCCUCUUUUCUUUCCUUCUUUUUCUUCUUUUUUAUUCUUCCAGGUUCGCAUACUUUUUUGUUAAAGUGGACAAACUUUUUAAAAAUUUGUGAACUUAUUUUCAAAUUUGAUGAACUAUUUUUCAAUUUUGAUGAACUUUUUAUUAAAUUGAUGAACAUUUUUUCAAAUUCGAUGAACUUUUUUCCAAUUUCGAUUAACUUUUUCCAAAUCGAUGAUUUUUUUUUCAUUUUUAUGAACUUUUUUCUAAAUCAAUGAACUUUCUUCAAAAUCACCGAACUUUUUUCAAAAUCAGUGAACUAUUUUUCAAAUUUGAUGAUUUUUUUUCAAAAAACGAUGAACUUUUUGUUGAAAAUCUGUGAACUUUUUUUUCAAAAAUUCAUGUACUUUAUCCUAAUUUGUGAACUUUUUUCAAAUUCGUGAUUUUUUCUCAAGUCCACGAUUUACUUCAGUUUGUACACACCUUUUUCAGUUUGAUACACUUUCUUAAAAUUCACGUUUUUAUAUGGUGCAUCCAUUUUUUAUUUUAUCAUAAAAUAAUACGCAUAAUAGGCUGGGUAUGAAAUAAGGUUUGUUUGUCCUUAGAUAGUUCAGCUAAGGAAGUACGGCAUAGUGGUUGUGUUCGAAGGUUUGGCUACAAGCGGGCCAAACCCUGCGCGAUGGGCCGGCCCAUUUAUCCAUAUUAUUCUGUUUCAGAACUGCAAAGAUUUUGAUGAACUUUUUAUUAAAUUGAUGAACAUUUUUUCAAAUUCGAUGAACUUUUUUCCAAUUUCGGUUAACUUUUUCCAAAUCGAUGAUUUUUUUUUCAUUUUUAUGAACUUUUUUCUAAAUCAAUGAACUUUCUUCAAAAUCACUGAACUUUUUUCAAAAUCAGUGAACUAUUUUUCAAAUUUGAUGAUUUUUUUUCAAAAAAUGAUGAACUUUUUGUUGAAAAUCUGUGAACUUUUUUUUCAAAAAUUCAUGUACUUUAUCCUAAUUUGUGAACUUUUUUCAAAUUCGUGAUUUUUUCUCAAGUCCACGAUUUACUUCAGUUUGUACGCACCUUUUUCAGUUUGAUACACUUUCUUAAAAUUCACGUUUUUAUAUGGUGCAUCCAUUUUUUAUUUUAUCAUAAAAUAAUACGCAUAAUAGGCUGGGUAUGAAAUAAGGUUUGUUUGUCCUUAGAUUCAGCUAAGGAAGUACGGCAUAGUGGUUGUGUUCGAAGGUUUGGCUACAAGCGGGCCAAACCCUGCGCGAUGGGCCGGCCCAUUUAUCCAUAUUAUUCUGUUUCAGAACUGCAAAAAACUGCGGUCGGUGACACUCGAACUCGCGCGCUCUGCCUUUUAGCUUAGCUGCGCUAGCCAACUUCGCAACUACCUUGCUCUGAUUCGUGAGAUCCUUUUUCUUUUAUUGUAUCUACCUUUCUUUUUCUUUUAUUUCUAUUUCCCCGUUUCCUUUUUCGUAUUCCUUUUCCCAAAAUGCAUGAUUUAAAAAAACACUGAACUUUUUAUUCAAAAACCUCGAUAAACGUUUUUUAAAAUUCAAUGAACUUUUUUCGUGAACUUCCUAAUUCGUAAACUCGAUGAACUUUUUUUGUAGUUCAAUUAACUUUUUUCAAAUGUGAUGAACUUUUUUCAAAUUCGGUGAACUUUUAUUCAAUGAACUUUUUUGAAUUUCAAUGAACGUUUUUUAAAAUUCAAUGAACUUUUUUCGUGAACUUUCUAAUUUGUAAACUCUAUGAACUUUUUCUAAAAUUCGAUUAACUUUAUUCAACUUUGAUGAACUUUUUUCAAAUUCGGUGAACUUUUAUUUGAUGAACGAUUUUGAAUUUCGAUGAACUUUUUUGAAUUUCAAUGAACAUUUUUGAAUUUCAAUGAACUUUUUUGAAUCUUGGUGAAUAUUUUUUCAAAUCCGGUGAAACUUUUCAAACUUCAUGAACUAGUUUUUUCAAAUUCAAAGAACUAUUUUUAAACUUGAUGACAUUUUUUCCUAUUCGUUGAACUGUUUUUAAAAUUUUCAAUUUUCUGAAUCAAUGAACUUUUUACAAAUUUCUGUACCUUUUUGAAUUCAAGAACCGGAGGCCGUUUUUUUCCUGAACAAACAAAACAAUAAAGAAAAAAAAACGAGCUGAUUUGAUCGAGCGAACGAACAGAAGCUGAAAGGAAACGAAGCGAGGGAGCGAUCUUAUUAUGGGCCGGCCCAUGAAGGCGCCUGCGUGGGCGCCGCUUGCUCCAAGUGGCGCUUAAGGCGCUGUCGAGGAGGUCUCAGCGGGCGGUGGGUGUUCAAAUCCCUGGUCUAUCACACUUUUUGCUAUCCGCGCUCUUCACUGCGUUUCCUGGGCCGGCCCACUACGCCAGGCGUGCGAGCGCCAGUAUCGCUAGCCAGCGCCUGCAGCGCCGAACAGGAGCUCCCCCGAGAUUUGCUACUGCUCCUUUUGGUUCGGUUACGCAACGGACAAAUACCUGCCGAGGAAGAGCAAGCGGUCAAAAAGGCUUCAAGAAGACUCUAGUUAAGUUUUUCCUUUUUUUUGAAACUGAAGACUCUUGUUAAGUGGUGAAGGGAACGUGGCAAAAAUGGACCAGGGAGCAACGUCACCGGCCCAGCGCUGGAAUUGCACGGGAGGAACCCCUGCUUAGCCAACUUGUAUCUUGUCUAACCUAUAAACCUCGCUAGAAUACCCGCGUAACUGGAGGCAUCGCUCGCGCCCAACGUUUUUGACCGCUCGAUUGAAUUACAACAGUGAUUUUUUGGCUGCUGGCGGCUGGUCAACCGUCCACUGUUUUUCACGUUUAAGACUGUGUCAAGAGAGAAUGACGGGUGGGGUCAUGAGCCAAUGGGGGCCAUCCAGCAGAGGGAGGGUUUCCUGGAGCCCAGGUCAAUGAUUGGCUGAAUGUGGGUUGUUCCCGAUUGGCCAGGACCAAUCCUCGACGACAGUCAGGACCAAUCCCCUCCCGAAAACCUAGCACGCUCGGGGCCAAUCCUCUCCGUCCUCGAGCCCCUCUUCUUCUCCCUCCACGGAGUAUUUAACCAAAAACUACCACAAUUCACGGAACCGUGACGAAAAACUACCACUUUACGAUUUUGUGCGAAAAACUACCACUUUUUUCCUAAACCGUGGCAAAAAACUACCAAGUCUGAAAAGAGCCCGAUUUGGCUCUUUUAAGUGCGUUUCUGACAGAGUUGGCCCACACAUAAGCAGGCUAAAAAAGCAAUUGGGUCCCUAGUUUUUUUUAAAAGCAAUCCAGUCCUCGGCGAGGCCCAGCACGCUCGCGGCGACGGCGACCUCGGAGGCGAUGACGGCGACCCAGACGACGACCUCGGAGGCGAUGACGGCGACCUUGACGACGACCCCGAGCGCGUCGACGCCGUUGCGGAAGCCCUUGUGGACCUACAGGCCGAGGAAGCCCUCGACGACCUUGGCGGAGUUCUUGGAGAGCUUGUAGCCGGACUUGAGCAGCGCGAGCGCGAAGAGGGCGGUGGGGGAGGAGGAGGAGGAGGAGGGGGAGGCGGCGGCGGCGGGGAGGAGGAGGAGGGUCGGGGCGAGGCGGAGGAGGGAGGCGGCGGCGAAGGCGGCCUUGACGCGCUUGAAGGAGGGCAGCGAGGGGAGACGCGCGGCCGGGUCGAGCGCGCGCGCNNNNNNNNNNNNNNNNNNNNNNNNNNNNNNNNNNNNNNNNNNNNNNNNNNNNNNNNNNNNNNNNNNNNNNNNNNNNNNNNNNNNNNNNNNNNNNNNNNNNNNNNNNNNNNNNNNNNNNNNNNNNNNNNNNNNNNNNNNNNNNNNNNNNNNNNNNNNNNNNNNNNNNNNNNNNNNNNNNNNNNNNNNNNNNNNNNNNNNNNNNNNNNNNNNNNNNNNNNNNNNNNNNNNNNNNNNNNNNNNNNNNNNNNNNNNNNNNNNNNNNNNNNNNNNNNNNNNNNNNNNNNNNNNNNNNNNNNNNNNNNNNNNNNNNNNNNNNNNNNNNNNNNNNNNNNNNNNNNNNNNNNNNNNNNNNNNNNNNNNNNNNNNNNNNNNNNNNNNNNNNNNNNNNNNNNNNNNNNNNNNNNNNNNNNNNNNNNNNNNNNNNNNNNNNNNNNNNNNNNNNNNNNNNNNNNNNNNNNNNNNNNNNNNNNNNNNNNNNNNNNNNNAGGACUUGGAGGCGGCCUUGGAGGCGGCGAGGAGGGCGGUGAGCGGGGAGGAGGCGGCGGCGAGGAGCCGCGGCGCCCGGAGCGCGGCCGCGGCGGCGGAGGUGGUGGCGGCGAGCGGCUUGAGCGCGCGCGAGCGGGAGAGGAGGAGGAGCAGGCGCACCCCCAGCGCUACGCCGACGGCCGAGGUUGCGGCGACGCGCUCGAGGACUGGAUUGCUUUAAAAAAAACUAGGGACCCGAUUGCUUUUUUAGCCUGCUUAUGUGUGGGCCAACUCUGUCAGAAACGCACUUAAAGGGGCCAAAUCGGGCUCUUUUCAGACUUGGUAGUUUUUUGCCACGGUUUAGGAAAAAAGCGGUAGUUUUUCGCACAAAAUCGUAAAGUGGUAGUUUUUCGUCACGGUUGCGUGAAUUGUGGUAGUUUUUGGUUAAAUACUCACCUCCACGCCAUCUCGCCGUUCCCAUCUCGCCUCCCUCGCGCUCGCACCGCCGCCUUCUCUCCCCGGUGCUCGAGCUGUAGCAGCUGGGGCGCCGGUCCUCGAUCCAGCCGGGUCCAGCGCAAGUCACCGGCUUCACGCGCCGUGAUGCUAGAUCGGGCGCAGAUCUUCGCGCCGCCACCUCUCCUCCUCUCUCUCGCCCAUGCCGCCACUGUUGCAAGGAGCAGGGGAGAUAGGCGACGAGGACAAGAAGCAGCAGGCUGGUCGCGGUGGGCUUGAGGUGCUGGGAGGACGGAGGAGUCCAUCGUGGUUCGUCAUGGAGGCGGCGCCGCCGGCCAGGGGACAUCGUUGGUGCGCUCGGUGCAGGUUCUUCUUUUUCAUGAAACCGGCCUCAUUCUCCCGUUCUUGCUAUCUUGUGCGAUUUUUUUUAUGCGAUUUGAUUCUUCUCUUUCUUUUCCUCUUGCAGGAUCGUCGGGGCUGCUCUCGUUCGUUCAGUUUGUCACUGUUCCUUUCGCUCUACUCCUGCUCAAGGUGAGGUGUUCUUCCGUUCCGAUGCUCCUGGCGUGUUUGAUGAAAUGUCUACGUGCUGUUAUGUUGUUCAUUCUCUCUUUUCUUUCCUGCUGCAGUCUGAUCUACCUUAUCUAUCAGUCCUCCUUCCGGCCACCAUCACGAAUAUGAUUUCCACCUCUGCUCUGCUUCAUUGCUGAUUAACUGUUGUUUCAUGCAUGUUUGCAGAGGCUUACUUGCAGUCCCUAAGCAAGGCUCUGUCGCACUACCACAAGGCCCAACUGCUGCUCCUCGACAUCACAGACUUCUCGCUGUGGGUCAGCAGCAAGAGAUCAAGUCCAUAACUGCUUAUUUACCUUUGCUCUGUUGUUCCUCAUGCUGUGAUUCUGAACUUUUUCCUUGUUUCUGAAUGUUUUUUGCAGAUCCAGAGCAAGUAUGAGAGCUCCAGUAAGGCCAUCAUGAGUAAACAUCAUGCCUACUUUGUGUGCUUGUUCAGCCUCUUUUAUUGUGUUGAUUGGGGAAUCUUGAGAUUUUAUUUGCGCAACUUGGCAAACUGGUCCCUCAUUGAUUUCAGCAAUCAGCAGUACCGGGCCCACAGAGAUUGCGAUCAUACAAUUUUGUCUGCAUCUUUAUAGCCGUCGCAUCACUCAUUUUAGACUAGUAUUCAUGGAUUUGUUGUCCUGUUUGCUUCUGUUUCUGUGUGCUCUGAAAAAAUGCUUCUUCUUUAGACAACCUGAAAUCAUGCUUGUGUUGUGCAGGUCCAGAACCAGUCCAUGUCUGAGACGACGUUUGGAAGGGUGUCCGAUUUCAUCGCACCUUUUGCAAUGUUUCCUAAGAUGGAUGAGCCUAGAGGUACCAGAACAAUACAAUUCAAUCUCUUCUCAUGUUUCUGCAAGAGUAGAUACAGUGUACUGUGUUGGAUAUGCUGAUUCGUUUUGAGGGAGCUAGAAAAUCUGUGGUGCUUCCUGGAAUCACGUUAUUCAAGGUAAAACCAGCCAAGUUGUUCUCUUCGAUGUUCUUUGCAUUAGAUUAAUAUAAAUCAUGUUCCUAGCAAAGUUCUAUUCUAUUACAAUCUUUUAGAGUUGUAGUAGCCGGAGAUUCAUUUUCAAGUUUGAACCCUAUCCUAUUAUUUAUGUUUGAGCAUGUUCUUCUUGUUUCUGUACGAGCACCUCUAAUUUAACUCUCUAAAAGCUCCCAAGCAAAAGAAGGCUUGCUGCGUCCUAAUAAAGAUUCUCCUUGUUUGCUUAUGCUUGUGUUGCUUCCUGCCUACUGCUUUGGGACAGAUAUAUGCAUGUUAGUUUGUCUCUGAUGUGUUGUAGGGCGUGCCCAGCUUUCUUAGCUUCUUACCAAUUCUUGGUUCUAGGAUCCAGUAGACUAGGUGAUCAUUUUUUAUAUAUGCCCAAACCAACGCAUGCUGCUGUAAUAUAUGUGCUUCAGAAUUGGCAGAGCACCACUUGCUGUAUACAUAUGCAAACAGUAAUUCUUGUUGCUCACCCAUAUGAGGUAUAGUUGUGGGAAUCCUGAACUGAAGUUGGGGAUUGCUGAUGUGAAAUGGCGGCGUCACGAGCCAGAUGGUCACCAUGGAGACCAUAAGCAGCCCAGCAGCAACAAUCCAACAUAUAUGCAUAAAACAAGCAUGAGCGGACACAUGCAGCAAUAAGCAUGGGAAUAGAAGUGGAUAGCCAUGGAACCUGUGGCGCGGGGAGCGCCGGUCAGCCUGGCGGACCUGUGACGUAAGCACGACGCUAGAUCAGACACACUCACGGUCAUUGGCGUGUGCGCUGGAUCGGCAGCCCUCGGCUGAUACAAGCAACUUGCAUUAUGUGGUCGCUUGGUCUAUCCAUCAACAUUAUAUCUCCUUCAUCAAUUAGUUUUCUCAUAUUUCUUAUUAUGAAGGCUAGGAACUAGGCUGAAAUACACAGAUGUUUUAGUUUUUGCUUUUCUUAAUGCAGAUGUGGAAGAUCUAAAAUCCUCUGUGAAAGAUUUUGGUUCUGCGGAAGCCAAUGAUCUGGCACUGGGACCAUAACUUCUGGAGUGAACGACUGCGGGAAUCAAAAUACAAUAUCGAUGAGGUUCUUUCUUUACAGAAAUCGCGAUUACAAUAUUAAUGAAAUUAGUUCCUGGCCAUUGCAUAUUUGCAUACUUAUUGGAAUUCGGUUUUAUCAUUAAUUGUUGAUUUAACUUUUUAGCUUUGAUGUAUGAGAAAACUAUCUGCAUUUCUUAUCUAUCAUGGAUAUGCUGAUAUAUUGCUCUACUAAAAGGAAUUGUUGGCCUAAGAUGUUAUUAUAUACGUGACAUGUUAUUGGCUAAAUAUGAUUCAUACUUUACAAACUCCUUACAGCUGGAGUAGGAUCCAAUGAACAGAUGAUGAAAAAUAAAUUAAGCACUUGCUUUGAUUUUUUCAAAUUUUUACAGAAACUGUUAGAACACACUUUUCUUUGCAAGCCGGAUACAAAGAGGAAUGUGUUAAAUAUAUGGAAGAUAAAAUUAUUUGCAAGCAAACUCUGCUUGUUUGCCAUAUUUUGCGCACCGUCUUAAAAUUAUUUGUCCAAUGGAAGGACUCUCUGCAACAUCAAUUCCAGUAUGUUGCUUUAGUUGUUCUGUGUGAUGCAAGGUAAUAUUUUUCUUGCAAUUUUUGCAUCUUUUACCUUUUCACUUCUGUUGAGAGAAACAUGUUGUUUCUUAAGAAGAUAUUGUUUAUAAGACGGAACAAUACUCACCAUAUAUGAUAUUGUUCCACCAAAUAAAUAUUUUUUGAGUGCAACUAAAAUCGUUUUCCUGCUCAUUCAUGACACUGUGGUCUGACAUAGCUGAUGGAUGUUCAGGUUUCUCUAUUAAUUGCAAUGCCUUCUAGAUGUGCUACUAUAGUGUUAUUUGUCUGUGCUUUAAUAUCCAUUCUGCAUGUGUUCUUCUGUUUAUUUUCAAGAUAUCCUGGCUCUCCGGAAUAUGCCCUGUUCAGCUGAAAGGAUGUAUUGCAAUUAUGCAGAGAGAUCGGAUUGUUCGGACUCCAGUGCCACUUUCAGUUUUCUAAUUUUUGCAGGGAUAUUGAGUGAGGGCUGGUCUAAACUUUAAGAGAAUAACUUAUUACAUUCUAGGAUCACCAACUUUUGGCGUUUGCUCGGACUAGGUAGGUAGGACCAUUAGCAAUUCUCCUGAUUUGCUUGCAAGAUUGAUUUAUGAAAAUGUCAUGGUCGUUAUAUUUCGGUUUGCUGCUAAUUUCAUUGAAUAUGUUUUGAUGGAUCCUUUUUAAGCUUUCAUCCUUUACCAUUUGUAAAAGUAACUAACACAUUCGUGAUUGAAUUUUUGAAUGGUUAAUGGGAACACUAUAGGUCUUGUUUCUCCGCUUUUUUAAUGUUCCAUAUAUUUUUCAUGUACAUACCAUAGUGUGCAUUCAACCAUCUACGAAGCUUCAUGACUGAUUAAAUGUUACAGCUGCUAAUGUUAUUGUGUUUCAUGGAUCAAGUUUUUCUUUCUAUUUCCGCAUUGACGUGUUGUUUCAAUGGUAGAGUUAGUUUUUUUUGCGGGAAUGGUAGAGUUAGUUACGACUGGUGUUUUUCUUGCGUCCCUGCCGCCCUGGCUACAGCUUGUUAUGCCAAUUGUGGCAGAGUGAAGGGAGGGAGAGACUAAAAUAAUUGUAGUUCUGAGACAUAAAUGUGUCAACAGAGCUUAUGGUUUCCACUGCGGUUUUUCUCAAAUAACCAAUAUAUGUCUGCAUUCUUAAUAUUUCUUGCUUCUAUUUGUAAUCUUAUUAUUUUCUCCAUGAUACACUUGCUUACCAAUAUGGUAUUGUGUUCAGUGUAUGUGGCCUACCGUAUCCGUGAUGUGGUGGCAGGAAGAGGCCAGUGCCACCAUUACUGUAUCCGUGUCAGGCAUGGUGGCAUGAAGAAGCAUAAAUUCAGAGUAUUGCUAUGAUGUUCUUCUCUAGCGUUGCAGGUGUAUCCGCAAAGUGUCUCAUAAUAUUUGGUUAAAGCCUGCAAUUGUUUAGGUGAUAUGAACUUCCUUUAUCUUGAAUGGAUUUGAACUCCAGCCAAAUUCAAGUGAUGAAAGGUCAGUUUUGUGCUGAUUCACAAGUUUAGAUAUCGUCCCUCCAGUGUACUUCUUGGUUGAUUAAUGAAAAAUGCUUUCUGCUCACUUCCCCUUCCUAGAUUAGUCUAUGUGUAUGAAAAGAAAAAUUCUUUUUUUGCAUAAUACUAUCGAUACCAUGGAAUAGUUUUUAUGAACGAUCCUCUUUAGCUAACAUUUAAUCAAGGUUACCUAAAGAGAAUGAUAUCACUUCAUAAAAACCAUUCAUGAAGAGAAUCAUUCAUAAAAAUAAUUCUCUUUAUGAUAGUAUUAUACAGAAAAAGCUAACAUUUGUAUAAGGAGAAUCAUUCUCUUUAGCUAACAUUUAAUCAUGGUAUUUGGUGGAACUGGCUGUGGAGUAUUAGGUAGAUUGUGAUAUGGUGAAUUAUUUGUUAGACACGACAUUACGAGCUCCUCCUUUGCAGCAGUACAUGGAUUUUUUUCUACAUAAAUCUCAUGAGUCCAUUAUGCCUUACGUAUCUGAACCUAUGAUUCUAGAGAAGAUAUAAUAUACUUCUGGAUUACACAAGGUAAAAUCCUCUUUCACUAACCCUUUCAACUUUCAAAUAUUGUCAGUUGGGGCUCACAAAACAGAUUGAGUUGAUUUUGUUGUUCUUUUGUGCUAUCUGGACAGAGCUUAUUGUUUUAUUCCAUUCUUAGUCUACUGAUGGUAAAUGAUAUAUGGAAAAUCAACAUUUCAAGGUAAAUAAAAUGCCCCCAGUAUGUUUCUGUUCACAUGAUUACUGGCUCAUGUUUCUUUUAUGUGAUGCCAGGCUACUGUUUGAUGUUCUCUUUGUUGCUCUCACUUUGGUUAUAUACUACUAAAACUUCGUAUAAUUUUCAUUUAGAUUUGGUGUUGUUAGCAUUAGACGGUGUGCAUCAAAUAUGAAAGUAGGGCCAAGCAUGAAAGGCAAGGUGAAGGAAGGUGCCUGUGUGGUUCUUCUGCAGCUCGGAGCGAGGAUUGCUGUGUCCAACCUGCAAAAGAAUGCCAAGAAGUCCUUGGAGACGUAAGCCACGGCACAUAUUUCUGCCAUGAUUUCCUUCGGCUGGAUUUAACGGAUUUAGGUGUUGAAAAAUUAUGGGUUGUGGAUGCAGGAUUAAGGACAUGUACCUGCACUGCAACGAGAGAUCUGGGCUGCUUCUUUGUGGCUUCCAAACUUGAAAUGUUUGUUUGGAAGUUAGUUUAGUUUUUUGUUGUGGAUUCACACCUUCUCACAUGUACCAUCCGCUUAGACCUUUAGAUUUCCAAAGAAAAUAAAUGAAGAUAUGGUGGUAUGGUUUCAUUUGUACAACUUAAAGCCUUUCAUGCUUUACAUUUUCUCUGAAAUUUGCUCUUGAAGAAUCAUGUAUCUAUGUUAGAUCCGGUGAGAAAAGGCAGCUUCAAAGCAGAGGAUUCGGGAGUGUUGGCCACAUUUGGUUUUUGACUUGGGUGUCUAAAUAUUCUCACAAUACUUGGCUCCCUCUUGGCCUUUGCGCCAUUGGCGCAACGAGUCAUCUAGUAUAUAUAUACGCGCAAAGAAGCGGCCAUGAACUGAUGCCCUAUUACUCUAAAAAAUGGUCAGACCAACACUUUCUUAAUUACAAGCAGAGUGAUGUUUGUAUCCAAUGAUAUGGUUCUCAGUAUGACACAACUCAUUUGCAUUUCCCACAACAAAAUAACUAGCAAGCUGAUUUCUAAAUAGAAAAACUUCACAAUUUCUGAGACAGAUAGAUGGUGUUAUUUCUUAAAACAUACGAUUCUCUUUUAAAAGGGCAAUAAGGUUUAUCUGCUUGAGGAAACAGCUCAGGCCCUAGAGUUACGCCCGUCAGGCAACCGGUCGUUUUCUAAGACAGGCCUGGCUGAGGUCGCACGCUGCCGACCGACUCUCCUCCCAUCCCCUUCUCUCCCGGCCGAGGUCUUCAAGAUUCGGCUGUCUCCGCGCCCCGAUCACCUGUAUUCUUAGAUGCCAUCACUAUUUAUAUCACUAUCAUGACCAUAAUUAUCCUUAUGACCACCACAUCCAUAUCCAGUAUUAUGAUGCUUGUUGUUAUCAGAACCAUCUUCCACAUCAACAUUUUCAUCAAAACAUCAUCUUUACUAAUGUAUACAUAGUCAUUCACCACUCAAGACAGAGUCAUCAUCAGUCUUAUAGUUCCACUCUCUCUUACCGCUAUCCUCAUUAUUAUCACCAUCAUCAUCUUUUGAUUAGUGAUAUAUUCAGAAGCACAAUUCCUUUUAUCAUUAUCAAUGGUUUCAUCACAAUACUCUUGAUCAAUGAUGUGCUUAGACCCCACUAGAAAACUUCACAAUUUCCAAGAUUCUCUAUUUGACACGCUUCUAUGCAAGCUAGCAUGAUUGAUUCUUCUCCAGCCUGCUGACCGAUUCUAUGUAAUGCUAGUAGCUAUGCAACACGGGUGAACACGAGGAAACUAUUGCCAUAGGACGAUGACGGUAGAGGGGAUGAAGAUUAUUCAGGUGGCAGACAUUGUUAUUCCAAAAUGCGUCGCCCUACUGGUUGGUGAAUGCAUAAAGAUCCAAUGAAGGACCAAUCAGCGGCCUACGCAACGCAGGCCUCCGUGACCAGUCGUCUUGCCAAGGGGAGUCAUCGGCACAACAAGAACUAGACAACAAAUAUUUUUUACGGGAGUAGUAUGGAUUUAAUUUGAAUUCCAGGAUUGGGUUUGAAGAAUAUCAAUCUCUUAGUUGAUAUUGAUGGAUGAAAAUACCAUUCUAAGGUUUAGAGGGGGGGGGGGCGUACCCAAGCAAACCUCAAGUAAAUAAUGCAACAUACAAAUUAGUGAAUCUACAACCCAGUGUUGCUUUGCGGCCGAAGCUGUCGUCUUGGAUGCGUCAGACCCAUGUAUGCCAGUAAAUAAUUAGAUUGAUCUCCAAGUGUGUUGGUGUUGUUGAGUAUAAUAUUACAGUUGACAUCAAUGGCGGCGAAAAUGAACAUAUGCAUGUUUGGGGGGGGGGGCAAUGCCCCCCUCCCAAGUUGCCUGUAACUUUCGUUGAUACAGUAGGCCUCUCAGCAGGAUCAUCUUAAACACAUUGCCCCCCCCCCGCCCCCAAGUUGCAUGUAACUCUGGCACUGGUUGAUACAAUAGGCCUCUCAGGAGGAUCAUCUUAAACACAUAGCAUCCUGAUAUGGAUACAUCUGAUUAUCUUCUCUUCCGGUCAGAGCCUGCUCAAAGAUGAAUCCACUCCGUCCAAGAUGGUUCCCUUCGUCCAAUGUCACUACACCAUUUUUGCCAACUGAACUCAACUAAAUUGAAAAGCAGGCAUAAAGGCGUGUGGUGCAGACUCGUCAGAGCGAGGAGAUAGGCACCACCAUUUCGUUUGCUUGUGACAAUCUCUAAAAGUAGAAUAUGAAAGUUGUAAAUGUUUGAUUUGUUGGAGGAGUGCCCACUCAUCGUAUAUUCGUGGGACAUGUAACCAUUAUUAUGGUAAACAUCAGACGUUAUUGAGGAAAUUAUUAUUGAAGUAAGUAUUUUGAGAUUGCAAGGUCCGAGGAACUUACUGGGUUCUGGCAACAUUGCGCGCCACCUCGUGUGAUCUGUUGCCUCCAAAAACCCUUGCGAACCAAAAUUCCAAGAUUUUGGGUUUCAACUCACUGUCCAAUAGGACAUUUGAUCUUUCAAAUCUUGAGGAUGAUCCUGUCAUGUGAAUCCUCAUGGAGGUAUUGCAUGCCGCGGGCUAUACCAUACAUGAUCAUGAACACAUACAACUUAGUGCAUUUAUCCGCAUCUUUGGGGGUAAAAGGCCAGAAGAUGUAGAAAACAAAUGCAUGCAUGACACACUAUAGACGGAUUGCAUUGGUUAGUGGUGGAGCUUGUUGCAAAAUGGGGGGGGGGCAAUGGCCCCCACUGGCUUAUGAUCAAGAGUGGCAACAAACCAUUAAGUUCUCCUGCUCCUCAAAACAAGCGCCAACAAUUCACACAAAAUUUAUGUGUUAUAGCUUAGCAAGCAAAAACAACUUUGUUUCCAAAUUGUUGAUCCCCUGUUGAGAACUCUGUGAUAGCCACUUAACAUCGACUAGUUGAUGGUCAUGGAGAGUUCCCUAAUGUACAAAAUAGAGACAUGCAUUAUUCAACACAAAAGAGGAAAUGAAGACAUCGAUCCAAACUGCUGCAACAUAAAAUAGGUGUACCUUCUAAACUAUGCUAAAACCACCUUUGCAUGGCUUGUUAUUUAAUCAUAUUCUCCCGUUGCAUCUGGAAGUAUUUGUAGAUCAAUAUAAAGGACUCAAUAACUUUUUAAUCCUUAGGAUCAAUUAAACUUGACAUAACCAAUAUGAUUCCACCUUGAAAGUAAAAAAUUGACACGACCAGUUACAAUUCAACCUUGAAAAUAAAAUAUGCAUAGCAAGAUUAUUCAACGACCAUUUUUUCAGGAACAUAAUUCAUUAAAGGUAGAUAUAUUCCGUAAAAUGUUGGAGUGUCCCACGAAGUGGUGCAUAACAUCCAUCGAUCAAAAGAACCAAGGGUGAUCAUCAAACUUGAUUACAAGAAAGCGUAUGCAUGACCGUGUGUACUGAGACUUCCUUUUUGAAAUCCAACAGACUAGAGGUUUUUGCAAAAAGUGGAUUGGUGGAUUUUGAAUCAUAUAGACCCAUUGUUUUUUCUUUGAAAGGCUCCUCCCCAUUGCAAUUUUGAAGGGGUCAUGUGGGCUGGUCAUGCAUCAAAUUUUUUGGUUUAGGUGGAAAAUAGAUAAUGGUUGCUAAAAGUAUUUUUUCAAAAAUACGCAAGACAUGUGUGUGUUAUAAGAAGAAAUAAAUGAGUUUAUUUAACGUGGGGCGUUUGUGCGCUCACCCUCGACAUCUAAGGGUUGUAUCUAAAAGAAAACUAAGCAAUCAUAAAACGACACACACUCUAGGGUAAUCCUAUAUAUUAAAUAGUUGAUCCUCACUAACUCAAUUAUAUUAACAUGUAACUAUGUUAACUCAUCAUGUCACUAUGCACGCCCCACUAAAUUUAAUUCCCUCACCAUGUAAAUAUGUCAAUUCACCAUGCCACUAUGCAUGAGAAAAGACCGAUCUCACAUGCAUCAUGCUUGUUACCAAUAGUAAAUAAAUAGUCCGUACCUAUAUAAUAAUCAAAUAUAAUAUAUUAUAUGCACCUUUUUUAAUUAUCAUAUUACUAAUCAGAAUAGUAAAGUUUCAUACUGCCAAAUCUCAUAGAAAUAACUACAUCCAAUUCCUGUUACAACGUGCGUGGUAUCAUCUUCAGUUAUCCUAGUGCCUUGACACCGUGUGUUGGAACAUCGGUCACUUUAUGGCCGGCCGUACUGCAUAAGGGUAGUUUUUGAUGUACAACAACCACUUUAUGGUCAACGUUGAUGUGGAAAAGAGAUUAAAAGAAUGAGCUCUUUUAUGGUGCCAUAUACUAGACUAUACUAGCGUUCAAAAAGAAAUAGUAUAGAAACAUCUGAUGAUUAAGAUUAGUUGUAUACUACUAAACAUUGUACCUUUGGUAUGGGUAGUAUACAUGAGCAAUAUAUGUAGUAUAAGUGCAUUAUGGGGAAAGAACACAAAUGGCGUCACUGUAAUAUAUUUUUAACACUAAGAUUGACCCUGACAGUUAGAUAUUCCUAUAUUAUAUACCACUAAGUAGUAGUAUAAGGCAUCGCAAAAGAGCUCAAACAAGGUAAAUCUGUUUCAAAAAAACUAAAGCUUGCCAUCUUCAAAUAUCCCACUAUGCGCACAAAGAUGCAUGUGUAGGCACAGUGGGAGGGGAAAGUCGGCCCAAGUUUAUCGGUUUUUUCCUUUCAAAUCCCCCUUUCCAUUUUUCCCUUUCUACUGUUGUGAUCAAUCGAUAUCUGCAUGUUUACCAUUUUGUGUAUUUUAAAUUUGAGAAACUCUAUUCAACAUAUUAGAACUUAUUCAACCAUUUUUCACAUGAAUAUGUUGAAAUAGUCUACCAAAUUGAUUGUUUUGGUAUUUUUAAAACUUUCAAAAAUAAUAAUAGGAAAACAUAAAUUAUUUUUUAUUGGAGCCUUCAUCUUCCAUGGUGAGAACGCAAAUUAAAGUGUCUGACAUGAAGGUAAGAUUAAUAAACGGUGGAGAUAUAGGAGGAAACGAGGUGCACGGGCGGAAAGUAUCCUUUUGAGCUGGAGCUCAUUUCAGCUCAGAUGAAUAGUAAAUUAAAAAAAUGGUAUACUUUGACAAAUGUUCUAAGUGUUUGCAAAUUUUCAUCAUGAGAUAACAUUCGUGGAAGGCGAGAAAAAAAAUUGAUGCUCGAAAAUGCUUUCGAAAGUAGCAUUUUCAGAGCAUCUUUUUGUUUUUUUGUCACACCUUCCUCGAAUGUGAUCUCAUGAUGAAAAUUUGCAAGCACUUACAACAUUUGUCAAAGUUCACCACAAAAAAAUUAGAAUUUUUUAGAAAAAAAAAAUCAAUUUUACUGUUUGUGUGGGCUCAUUUGAGCUCGAGCUCAAAUACUCCACGUCCUGCACGGGCUACAUACAUGCAUGGGUUCAGUAGCUAGUGCAUUUGGUCCUGGGCUGUUUUGCUUCAUGGGUGGGCUGGGUUGGGUUUUAGAUGGGUGACAAGGGUGUUGAAAAACCCCUGUUCAAAUUUGUGCUAUCCCAACCAGGCCCUUUUUUUUUACAAAGUGUAGCUAGUGCUACUUUUUAUUGCCGAGUUGAACCUCACGCGUUACAUCAGCUUUGCCUAGGUCUCAUUGUUGACAUAUAGCAUGGCACUUACAAAUUUCUUGCCCCACAAAUUACAGACACAUGGCGCUUACCAAUUCUGGAAUAGAAUCUUCAUCGAAAGAUGUCGAGAAACACAUUAUUCAUCUAUGAAAAUUGGUGAGAUGUUGGAUAACCAAACUGCCCAAAUGAAGGUGAAACAAAAGCAAUAUUGACUACAAAAGAGGCUGAGUGGAACCUCAUGCAUCAUAAUUGCUUCUUAACUUGUCAACCCCCUUAUCACUAUUGUGGUCCUCCUAAAACCUAGUGUCAUGGGAGAUCGCUGGGUAGUGUGAUAACCCGCGCCAAUUGAGGUGAAACAAAAGUAAGAAAGUUGUCUGAAUAUUGUUGCUCGCUAUGAUCUGUUGAAUUAGGCUAUUGUAUUUAUUCGUUUCUCCUUUUAUUGCUUGUCAUGAUGUUAGUUUCAGCCAUUGCUUCUAUCCAGACAUAACACUUUAGGAAACUUGAUGUCUUACACUUAAAAUAAUCGAGUCGCACCUUGCCCUCCAUUGAGGGCCAGAAGGUUAAGUUGAGGGGUGGGGGGGGGGGCGACGGUGUCCUGGACUAGGGGGUACUCACCAUGUCGUCUCUCGAUCAGUUGGAUUGGGCCGAGGACCCCCAUGGCCGCAUACUCAUGGUCCAGUUCGGACAACCCCUGCCGCAUACAAGGAAGACUCCACAAGACUUGGCGCCCAUGACAAGGACUCUCCUAAACCCUAGGCCUCCGGUGUCUUAUAUAAACCGAGGCCAGGCUAGUCAACAGAAAAUCUCAUAUUCAUUACUAUCAUCUCGUGUUAGAUACAUGUACUCUGCACUAUACCCCAUAUGAAUACAAUCAAAAGCAGGACAUAGGGUUUUACCUCCAUCAAGAGGGCCCGAACCUGGGUAAAAUUCCGUGUCCAUGUUACCAUAGCUCCAAGACGCCUAGCUUAGGACCCCUACUACGAGAUAUGCCAGAUAUUGAACCGACAGGGGGGGAGGGGAGAAAAGGAAAACCCGGUGCAUCGUUUGUGUGCAAAAGACCAAGGAAGCAAGCAGUAUGGAUACUUAAUGGUCGCUGGAGAGAAUAGGGGGAAAUACAACACAACCAUCGUGCUUGACAUGCUCCUCGUGCUCAACACACGUAGUUAUGAAUUAUUUUAUACUCAAUUAUUCACAUGUAAUUUGUUCUUAUACGGUACCAACGCAUGAAUAUCUAACUAUUACAUUUUGAUAUCCAAGCAAACGGUAUCAACUUGUUGUAUAUUAGAUAAUCUAUGAACCCAAACCCAUGGCUAGCUUGCAAAUCAUCAAAUAGACUUAGAACUGAAGAAGGUUCCUCCCCCAUUCCUUUCUUGGGACUUUCACUCAACAUAAACAUUUGGCAAUACUCCUUUUUUUGGCCCACUUUUUCACACAAAAGCUCACCAUUUCUUGGGUGCUAAAUCCCAAGUGCACCCUUGCAAAAGGCACACUUUCUUUUGAGUUGGUAAAUCAGAUUUUCUGUUUAAUAUAGAAGAAACAAGACAAAUUAGAAUUCAUGCAUGUAUAAAUGUUUAAACAACAUAAUGUAUGGUCAAUACCAAAGAGCCGUCUAAAAAUAUGUGGCAUAUAUAUGGCAAUGCCAUACGUUCUCGUGAAUACACAGAUGGGUUCAUUACUGACAAGUACAUGCAUGAAACCGUAGUUGCAACAUAAUUAGCUAAGUGCAAAGCAAAAUAUAAAAUAUAUUUACACAAUAUCAAUCUUUCACCAAUAAUAUCCGCUCUAGUAAGCAUAUUAACCACCAAAAAUGAUAUUAAUAUGAUCCCAUAUAACAAUAAUUAACAAGAUAAAAACUUAAAAGGGAGACACUAACUAUACACUAUGUUUACCAUCAAAAUACAUACAUGGUAUGUGAAUUAUUACUCACCAAUUUGUUGGAUCAUAUGCACUAGAUAUUGCCUGUAGAAUUGUGUUUGCGUCCUGGCAUGCAUUUGUUGCAACCAGUUCAUUAUGUAAAUAUUAAGGAGCUAUCUUACAACAUUUAUGGGCACGGAUAUUAGGUGCACAAUGAGGAUACAUGAAAAAACCGAGAAUUCAGCUUGGUACUGAAAACCUGAUCGACUAAUUCAAAGCCCAAACACAUAAUACUAGUUUCGUCACUAGCGAACGGCAAGGCAAUAUGUUUAACGAACCAAUAAUGCAUCAGUGUAAUGUCAUGAAAUGCUAGAGCCAAACAAUACGGGCAUGUACACAAUUGAAAAAAGGACCAGCCUCGUGCAACCCUUGGUAGCCUUUUUUUAAGAACUAUCCUCUUGAUGGUACUAGUUGCUCUUAAGGUUGUACGUUGAAGGUUUUCAUGCAGAGCAGAGCAACUAAGUGAAUGUUGAUUUUCAUUUUGUUUGAUCAAUCAGGAAGGAGACAUGAAAUUCAUAAACUGCCAGUAGCCUUUUAUUUAAAAAAGAGAACUACUAGUAGCCUCCACCGAGAAAACUAAUACUCCCUCUAGCUUGAAAAGUGGGUGUGCAUAAAUUAUGUCUGAAGUCAAAUGGUGCAAAAUUUGACCGAGUUUAUAAAAAAAAUAAAUCAAUAAUUGCAAUGCCAAAUUAGUUUCAUUGUAUGGACAAUAAACAAGAUUUUCGUAUUCUAUCUAUCUAGUAUUGUAGUUAUUGAUGAUCCUACAAAUUUGAUGGAACUAUGCGAGUUCCGACAAAAUGUAUGCCUAUUUCUUAAGUGGGGCGGAGUACCAGACAGUUAGCGGAAAACUAUGACAAAUGCAGGGAUCAACAUAUGUUGACGUAAUUCAAGUAGUUAAUUGUAUGACACUUCUUUUUCGGUACAACCCACAUAAACACAUCAAUGGACGAGAUCUGUCGAUACCCCUUUAUAAUAAAGGGUAGGGUGGUCUUUCUAGAAAAUACGUCGCGAAGAUCCGUCACAUUCUGAGUCUACCUUGUGUACACAGUAGCACAGAUCGAAAAUCCAAAGCCCAUUAGGAAAAUCCAAAAAAUAGUGUGCCUACUAGGCGUCGAACACAAGACCUCGAGGCGUUGUGAAAAUGCUAAUAGCCACCAGAACCAUCGCGGGUUGGUCAUACUUGCGUAGUGCAGUUAUUUAUCAACUAGAAAAGAUGUACUGUAGGAGUUUCUUUUUAAUAGAAAUACUAUAGCAUAUAUCAAAAUUGGUACUGUACAACUGUGCCGGACAUUCUAGCGAAAGCGCUUUUUAUAGCUAAAAAUCCUAAUGUGUUUAUUCAUCUUUUGGAAUAUUUUUCGAAAACAUGAAUAUUUUUUAAGAAACAAUACGUUUCUCAAAAUUUGGACUUCUUUUGGAAACGCGUUUCUUUUCAAAUUUCCAAACCAUUUUUUAUGAAAAAUACUUUGAUUUUGUGAAUAUUUUUGAAAUUUUAAGAACAUUUUUUCAGAAUUGUAAACAUUUUUCUGAAACUGCAGACAUUUUUUAGAAAAGAUGAAUAAUUCAUCACAUUUGUAAACAUUUUCUUGAAAACAUAAACAAUUUUAAAUAUAUCAUUUUUUUGAAAAACGCAAGCACUUUUUCAAAUAGCCGAGCAUUCUUUGAAAGCACAAACAUUUUUUCAUAUUUACGAAUAUUUUUCCAAAUAUACUACUCCCUCCGUUUCAAAAUGUAGUGCGUCCUCGGUUUCCGUGUUUCAACUUUGACCAUAAAUUUAACCAAUGAGACUGACUGCGGCGGGAGCAAAAAUUAUAUAAUGGAAAAUGUUUUUUAAAAAUGAAUUCACUUGUAUAAUUUUUGCUCCCGUCGCAGUUGGUCUCGUUGGUUAAAUUUAUGAUCAAAGUUGAACCUCGGGAAACAUGGGCACGCUAUAUUUUGGAACGAAGGGAGUAACAUUUUCUGAAAACAAUUCUUAUUUUCAAGGGCCUAAGCAUUUUUUUUCGUUUUUCUUCUCUUUUUAUUAAUUCAUUUUCUACUUUUGAACUUUAUUAUUCUUUAUGAAACUUGUUCAAAAAUUUGAAAAAUUGUUUGGCAUAACAUAAAGUGUUCUUGUUUUCAAAUAUUGUUUAAAUUCUAAAAUAUAUUCUGGAAUUUUAUAAAAUGUUCCAGUUUUUGAAAUUUUUAUUUGCAAAUUCAAGAAAUGUAUGUGUUUAAAAAAAUUGAUAAUUUUUUAAAAAGUACGUGGUUUGCCAUUUUUUCCGAAAUUUUCAGCAUGUUUUCGUAAUUUGUUAACAAUUUUGGACAAAAGUGUUCAAGUUAGUAAAAUUUUCAUACACACCAAAAUAGUUGACAAAUUUGAAGAAAUUGUUUGGAAAAAAUAAAAUGUUUAUGUUGAGUGAUAAUGACAGGAGUUACAAAUAAACUCAUCUAACUGGUAUAUUUUAGGCUAUGGAUAAAUGAACCCAUCUUCUUGUAAGAGGCUGGCAUGGACAUAUGAGGCAUCCAUGCCAGGUUUGAAGGACUUCCGACACCCUUUACAUGUUGUGACACGUUCGACCAUUUAUCGGCCUAUUUUCACCGAGAAAACUCUAAAAAAUGCAAAACUUUUCAAAAGUCUAAACAACUUGGUAUUGUGCCUUGAGUUGGUCAUAUAAGCUUGUGAAAAGUACUUAGGGUUAUUUGACGGAUGUCAAAAAACAAAGAGCUUUCAAACGGACCCUUCUGCCCUAUCCGAACACCCUCCGUUGGACAUAGUCUAUUUUUGAACAUCCUUAAAAUGAACCCCACUUUUGCAAGAAGGUAGGCAUGCCCAUGGUAGGCACAUGCCUGGUUUGGACGAUUUUCAACACCAUAUGCAAGUGGUGACACAUCCGGUAAUUUAUCGGUCUUCUUAACCAAGAAAACUUCAGAAAAUGCAAAAUUGGGCGAAACCAAAAAAAUUUGACAUGGUGCCUUGAAUUGGUCAUACAAGGCUAUGAGAAAUGGAUCCAUUUAAGGGAUGUCAAGAAAUGAGGUGCGCCCAAGCAUACCCUUCUGGCCUAUCCGAACACUCUCCAUUGAACAUGGUAUUUCUUCGGAGAUCUCAGGACAGGUCCCAACUUUUGCAAGCAAGUUGACAUGCCCAUUUUAGGCUUUCAUGCCUGGUUUGAAUGACUUCCAACGCCGUAUGCAUGUUCUGACAUUAAUCGGCUUUUUUCAUAGAAAAAACUCUAAAAAAUGCAAAACUUGACAAAAACUCAAACAAUUUGGCAUGGUGCCUUUAAUUGGUCAUACAAGGCCAUGAAAAAAUGGGCUCAUUUAAGGAUGUCGACAAAUGAGGUGCUCCCAAACAGAUCCUUCUGGCCUAUUCGAACACUCUCCAUUGAACAUGGUAUUUCUUUGGAAAUAUCAGGACUGCCCCCAACUUUUGCAAGCAAGUGGGCAUGCCUCAUGUUAGGCAUCCAUGUGUGGUUUGAAUGACUUCCGACACCGUAUGAACGUUGCGACAUGUUCUGUCAUUAACUGUUAUUUUUUCACCGAGAAAACUUCAGGAAAUGCAAAAUUUGUUGAGAACCCAAACAACUUGUCAUGAUGCCUUGAAUUGGUCAUACGUGGCCCUUGAAAAAAUUGGAGUAAUUUCGACGAUGUAGAGAAAUAACAUGCUCUCAGACGGAGUCUUCUACCCUAGAACACGCUUCGUUCAAUAUGGUCUAUUUUUAUACAUCCUUCAAAUGGUCCCAACUUUUGCCACCAGGUGGGCAUGCCCCUCAUAGGCAUCCAUGCCAAGUUUAAACAAUUUCCGACACCGUAUGCAAAUUGCGACACGUCCUGCCUUUUUUUGCAUUCUCUUACCGAGAAAACUCUAGAAAUAUACAAAACACGUCAAAAAUCAAAACAACUUGUCAUGGUGCCUUGAAUUGGUCAUACGAGGCUAUGAAAAAAUUAGGGUCAUUUUAAGGAUGUCGAAAAACAACGUGCUCUCGGACAUACCCUUCGGGCCAACCUAAACACCCUCCGUUGAACAUGGUGUUUUCGUGGACAUCCUUGAAAUUACCACAACUUUUGCCACCAGGUGGACAUGUCCAUGGUAGGCAUCCAUCGCAGGUUUGAACUACUUCAGACACCAUAUGCAAGUUGCGACACGUCUAGCCAUUUAUCGACCUUUUUUGACCGAGAAAACAUUAGAAAAUGCAAAACUUCUCGAAAACUCAAGCAACUUGGAUUGGUACCUUGAAUUGGUCAUACAAGGCCAUGGAAAAAAUAUUGGGGGCAUGGAUGCCUACCAUGGGCACGCCACCUAUUCGCAAAAUGUUGGGGUCAUUCAAGAAUUUCCAAAAAAACACCAUGUUCAACAUAGCGUGUCCGAGUAGUCAUCCAUGCCAAGUUUGAAGGAAAAAUGUAUUUAAAAUCAUAAUUUAUAUAGAUACUUAAAAAUGUCAAUUUAAGUUUCUAACAUAACUAAUAAAUACUAAAUGAUAGAAUUGAAAACAACAAAUGCUUUUUUAAAGCAUUUAAGAAAUAUUUAAACAAAAAAAGAAUUAAAAAGAAUUCAAAUUAGUUACUUUAAACUGUUAUAUUGGUAUUUCAAUUUUUUGAACGGGUUUAAAAAAAUAAAGUUUAAAAAGGUGUAAAAAUAAAUUAACAAAAACGAGAGAAAAACGAAAAAAUAGAAAAGAAGAAAAAUCUUAGGCCUUGCCCAACUAAGCGACAACAUCGCUCCUGUUGGGCGACUAUUGGAAUUUGUUCGCAAUUUUAAAAAUGUUCUCAUUUCCAAAACAAAUUGUUCACUUUUUCUAUAUCAUUUAUUUAGUGUCAUUUCAGAAAAUGUUUUGGAAUUUAAGUUGUUGUCCAUGUUCUCAGAAAAUGUUUUUUUUCACAAUUUUAUUUGUGCUUUUCAAAAAAAUUAUUCGCAUUUUGACAUUCUGAACAUUUUUUUAAAGACACAAACAUUUUUUAAAAUUACUUUACAAUUUUUUUAAAUGCAAAUAUUUUUUAGUUUAUCAAAUUUUUUUGGAAAUAAUGAACCGUUUGAAAUUUUGAAAAAAAUUGAAGGCACGACCAUUUUUUUAAAAGAAAGAAGAAACAUAGCAGGAAAAGGAAAAUAAAUAAAUAAAAAUAAAUUAUGGAAAAAAGACCAGUUCAGAAAGUGUUUCUAAAAUCUUUUUAAAAUUCCUAGCCUGUCUGUUACUUAUUGUGUUUAGCUUUAGAUCGUUCAACAAAGGCAUGCUGUCGCAGUGGUUGUGGAUGCUGUUAAAGUUUUAAGUGGUCGUGGGUUCGAUUCCCAGCUUGUGCCAUCCUAUUUUCCUAUUUUUCAUCGCAUGCCACAACAAAUGGGCCGGCCCAAGUAAGCUGCCCGGCGUAUACGUUACUUUACAUAAGUAAAUACAAUCAGUAAAUACAGAUUGUGAAAAGUCCAUAGUACCCUUUAUAUGUAUUGCAAGGGGGGUUGUACCGAAGCAGGACUCAUUGUAUGGUUACCCACACAAUAUGAUGCAUGUUUCGACAACUGGUUUGCCGAAGCAAUCAUAGUGUAGCUCAACAAAGAAAUACUGCUCAGAGGUAUCUGGUUUUGGAGGAACCCUCCUGUGAGGCCAGAAGCUGUGCUUUUCGCGGCGACUACGUGCUAAAAAGUUGAAGUUAAACCAAAUUUCAUCCCUGAAACCAACACGGUUGCAUCAUAUAGGACUGACAGGGUCGACUCGAACUUGGCACCCCGAAACAUAGAACACGGGGAAGGCAUAGGAAAAUAUAGUAAGGCCCAUCAACGGAAAAAAAACUGAUACUUUUCCCCUCUCGUUAGGGUUUACCUACGCUCGGUGGCGGCGGCAGUCCCCCGUAGAUAUCUUUCCUCCCCUGCCCUCCUGCUCCCACCGGCGAUCGCUGGGGCUCCUGGAGGGCCUCGGCUGUGGUGGGGCUUGGGGUUCGUGCUAGGGAUCAUACCGCCCACGGACAAAGUAAUCGGGGCAAGAGGAUCAUGGAUAAGACGGCGUCAAGUUCGGGUACGGCCAACUCUGAUCUUGAAGCUAUGAUGGCGGAACUAGGAUUGAAGGAGGACGAACUGCAUGAUGUGAUGGUGGAAGAAGCCGAGCUGAUGGCGGAGGCGACCCGAUGGAUGGCGAUUGCUAGGGUUCACACUGAUAAAAACUAUAGUCAGUAUUGGUUCUAUAAGAACCUGAGGGUAGCCUGGGAUUUGGCUCAGGAGGUGAAGGUCAGAACGCUCGAGGAUAAUCUUUACUCGAUGCAAUUUUCUUGCCUUGGUGAUUGGGAAAGAGUGAUGGAGGAUGGACCAUGGAACUUCAAAGGAAAAUCUGUUGUCCCGGCACCGUAUGACGGCUUCACAAAACCCUCGCUGAUUGAGUUAAACAAAAUUGAUAUAUGGAUUCAGAUCCAUGAUUUGCCAGUUGGUUUUUUCUCCAAAGUAAAGGCCUUGUCAGCAACAGUGGGCGAAUUCAUAUUUGCAGAACCGAAAUCACAUGACUUUGAAGGAAACUUCGUCCAUGUUCGAGUAAGGAUAGAUGUCACCAAACCCCUUAAGAAUGUUGUUUCGUUGGUGGUCAGGAAGAAGGACUCCCUCGAACGAGUUAUCUUCAGAGUCAAAUACGAGAGACUGCCUGACCGGUGUGCGGUCUGUGGACACUUGGGUCAUCUUUUUAAGGAGUGUGGUGAUGGAGUUCAUCCUCCGCAGGCAAUGGUUUUCAAAGAGCUCAGGGCAAGCUGGUUUAGAGGGCCUAGCAGUGGUCCGAGAGAGAUAUCUGGAACCAGGGGAGGACGCGGCAGAGGUCGCAAUGGCAGAGGUGGUGGUCGUUCUACCACAUAGUCCAGCCCUUUCAGCAACAAGGACAGUGUAGAUUUAGAACACACAGAGGACAACGUCGCAAUGGAGGAGGCAGAGAAAAAUAGGAAGAGGGGAGCAGCAUGUGCUGAAGUCCCAAAGUCCAACCAGACUCAUCAACCUAUAGCAAGUGUAGAAAAGACACAUCUGAUGCUACCUCCACCGGUGGUACCCCCAGCCCCUCAAAACAGGAACCUAAGAGGAACAAGGCCAGUCCAUCAAUGAAUGAAGUUGCUCAGGCAAAGAAUGCAGCUCCCAACAAAAACCCAGAUGCGCGUUUGGCGGGCCUCCCAGGGGGGUCGCGCCUAGCGCAAUGAGUAUGAUGUGUUGGAACUGUCGCGGAAUUGGCAAGGCCGCGACAGUUCGGGAGCUUCGCUAUCUAGCGAGGCAAUUUGCCCCCUCUAUCUUUUGUAUUGUAGAAACACAAAUAGAGGGCUCGAGAGUUGAGAAUUUGGCAGAAGCAAUAGGUUACAAUAAAAGCUUUGCAGUUAGUAGUUCUGGUCGCAGUGGUGGCCUAGGAAUUUUCUGGAAUGAUGAAAUAAAAGUUCAAGUUCUUGGUUACUCUAAGUAUCAUAUUGAUGUACUUGUUGAUGAGAUGGUGGACUUGCAGGUUCGAGUAACCUUUGUGUAUGGGGAGGCCCAGGUUCCAGAGAGAUUUAAAACUUGGGACACCUUGAGGGGUAUUGCUGAAACACAGAAUAGGCCAUGGGCGGUGCUAGGUGAUUUUAACGAGGUUCUACAUAUCCAUGAACAUGAUGGUGUGGGAGCCCGAAGUCAAGCACGAAUAGAUGGCUUCAAAGAAGCAAUUGAUACUUGCGGUUUAUCUGACAUAGGUUAUACGGGAUCGGAUUGGACAUUUGGAAAGAAGGUUGCUAGACAGGUGCUUGGUAAAUCCUGAAUGGUCUCUCGCUCUCCCAAUGACAACCCUAAUUCAAAAGAGUGCGGCUAGUUCAGAUCACCUUCCUAUACUCCUCACGUUACGUGAUAUGCAUGCAUGCAAUGCGGGCCCUAGAGCUUUUAAAUAUGAAACAAUGUGGGAGAGAGAGGAUUCUCUAUUCACAACAGUUAACAAUCGUUGGAACAUGCUUGCAGCAGAUUCCGUUGCCUCGUUGCGGGAGAAGAUGGGUAAGCUGGCAGGCGAUCUGUCUGCAUGGGAUCGCACCCAGUUCGGCUCUGUCAAGAGAGAGAUCAUCCAAUUAAAAAAGCAGCUAGAUCAACUACGCUCUACUCCAGGAAGAUCUGGCCUGUCACAUCUGGAGACAAAGACAAUUGACAGACUGGUUGAGUUAUUCCACCGUGAAGAGAUGUUAUGGCGCCAGCGGGCGCGGCUCGAUUGGCUGACCCAUGGAGACAAAAAUACAUAUUUUUUUUCACUUGAGGGCGAGCCGCCGGCGCAGGAAAAAUCAAAUUAAAUCGCUUCAACGGGCAGAUGGCUCACUGACGGAAGACGGGGUAGAGAUGGAAGUGCUGGCUACAGAGUUUUAUAAAAACCUAUACACUUCCGAAGGGGUACAUAAUAUGGACCAAGUACUGGAUACGGUGCCAACUAAGGUAACUCCUGCUAUGAAUGAUUUAUUUAAUGCGCCUUACACACAACAGGAGGUUAAGGAGGCUCUGUUCCAAAUGUUCCCAAUUAAGGCGCCGGGUCCUGAGGCUUUCCGGCCCACUUCUUCCAAAGGCAUUGGGAGGUUUGUGCUGAGGAUGUGACGAAAGUGGUGCUCAAGAUUGUAGAUGGAUCUGAAUCAGCAGCAUGCAUUAAUGACACUAUUUUGGUAUUGAUCCCAAAGGUAAAAAACCCAACACUACUUUCACAGUUCCGUCCAAUCAGCCUUUGUAACGUGCUCUACAAGAUUGCUUCCAAGGUCAUCUCCAACAGGCUUAAACAGAUACUACCGGAAAUAAUCUCUGAGGAGCAGUCUGCUUUUGUUCCAGGCAGAUUAAUUACUGAUAAUAUAAUAACUGCAUACGGAUGCUUGCACUUCAUGAAAAGGAAUGGGGCUAAGAGACAUCAAUCCUGCGCUCUGAAACUUGAUAUGAUGAAGGCAUAUGACAGGGUAGAAUGGGACUACUUGAGGGCUAUAAUGCUCAAAUUGGGUUUCACUAGUAACUGGGUUGACAUUGUCAUGAGUCUGGUUACCUCAGUACAAUUUUCAGUCAUGUUUAACGAGAAGAAGCUUGAGGAGUUCAAACCAUCACGAGGGAUCCGGCAAGGGGACCUGAUAUCUCCAUACUUGUUCUUGAUAGCAGCAGAGGGCCUGUCGUGCCUGUUAAAAUCAAGAGGGGAGUCAUCCAAUUUGGAAGGGGUACAGGUGGCUACUACGGCACCACCAGUAAACCAUCUUCUAUUUGCUGAUGACAACCUGCUAUUCUUCAAGGCAAACGGUAUGGGAGCUACCGAGGUAAACCAAGUGUUGGAUAGCUAUUGCCAAGCAACAUGUCAGCGUAUAAACUAUGCUAAAUCAUCCAUAUUCUUCAUUAAGGGUGUGCCGGAUACUGUUCGCAAUGAUAUAAAAGGCAUUCUAAAUGUUCCCAAUGAAACCUUGAACGGGAAAUAUUUAGGAAUGCCUUCCGAUAUGGGGCAUCUAAAAAUGGAGCUUUCAAACACUUGAAAGAUAGAUUGUGGAGUAAAAUUCAGGGAUGGAUCGAGAGGACCAUGUCUAUGGCAGGGAAGGAAGUGUUAGUAAAGUCAGUGGCGCAAGCAGUACCUGUUUUUUCUAUGUCGUGUUUCAAGCUACCGCGAGGUCUAUGCGAGCACCUCAACAUGAUGAUUAGAAAAUUUUUGUGGGGAAGCACAAAUGGGCAGCAUAAGCCUCACUGGGUUUCAUGGAAGUCUAUGACACAACCAAAGAGCCUUGGUGGUCUAGGUUUUAAAUACUUUGAGCUCUUCAAUCUGGCGAUGUUGGCGAGACAAUCUUGGCGUUUACUGCAGGAUCCCAAUUCUCUAAGUGCCCGUGUACUGAAGAGCAUAUACUACCCACAUACGUUGAUAUUGCAUGCUACUUUGGGGAGUCAUCCUAGCCAGAUAUGGAGGGCAAUCAUCAAGGGCCGAGACACUUUGCAGCAAGGGCUUGUAAAGCGGAUUGGCAACGGGGAGAGCACGUUUAUAUGGGAAGAUAACUGGCUACCUCGAGAGGAGAUGAUGAGGCCGUAUGGGUCUUUAUCUGCUAACCCCCCACAGAUGGUCUCAGACUUGAUUGACACAUCGAAUGCCACAUGGAACAGACAAUUAUUAGAUGCCACCUUCAUGCCUAUAGAUGUAAGAGUCAUCUCGGGCAUACCAAUCUGCACCAUGAAUGUACAGGAUUUCUGGAGCUGGGUUCAUGAGAGGAACGGCCAAUUCACGGUGCGCUCGGCUUAUAACAUGCUGGUUACGACAAGGAACGGGAGAGAAGCAUGGCUAGAGGGAUCGGCAGGAACAUCAAAUAUGCGCGCAAACGAAGGUGCAUGGAAAGCUUUGUGGAAGACGGAGGUCCCAUCUAAAGUACGCAUGUUCCUAUGGAGGCUGUCCAAGCAAUCGUUGCCCACGGAGGAUGUCAGAGCGCAUCGAAAUAUGUCAACCUCAUGUACCUGUGGCUUCUGCGGUGCCCCGGAUUCAUGGCGGCACUCGCUGCUGGAUUGUACAGUUUCAAGAUGUACAUGGGCUCUUGUCGAUGAGGAACUGGGGGUCAAUUUGGCGGCAACAACAGAAGAACGGGCGAAGAGCUGGCUUUUCAGCCUUCUGGACACGCUACCCCACGACAAAUUCAUCCUUCUAGCUGUAACACUUUGGGCGAUAUGGACUUCGAGAAGGAAGGCCAUCCAUGAGGCCAUAUUUCAAAUGCCACAUGCAAUACAUGCGUUCAUCACGCGGUUCAUAGCUGACUUGGAUGCAGUCCGGGCCCCCAAACCCGUUCAUCCCACAAGGGCAAGCACAAACUCACUUGCCCAUAGACCAAAGGCGCCUCCAGCGACCUUUGCCAAGAUCCAUGUGGAUGCAGCAGUAAGGACAUAUAGAGGCGGGUCGGCUGUGGCCAUAUGCAGGGACAACAAUGGUGAUUUUAUGGGAAGUUCAGCCCUGGUGAUUCAAGGUGAAUGGGAGCCAGCCACACUCGAGGCGAUCGCUUGUCGGGAGGCCAUUGCCCUAGCGGAAGACCUCAAUAUUCCACGCUUUGUGGUGGCGUCGGAUUGUAAACAGGUAAUUAGGGAUAUUGCCAAAGGAUAUAAAGGCUCCUAUGGAUCGGUCAUUAGUGAGAUCAGGACUAGAUCAUCACACUUUCUUUGUAAUUUCUCUUUCAAAGGUCGUCGUGUUAAUUUUGAAGCACACAAGUUAGCUAGAUUUUCGUUAUCACUAGCUCAGGGGCGUCAUGUGUGGCUUGGCCAGCCACAUGACCAGACUUGUAUUCCACUUUCUGUGGAGUUUGAUUAAAUAAAGGCUUAUUUCCUAAAAAAAAAGAAUAUCUUUCUAGUCGAAUUUUGAAUAUUUUUCUAUAGUUUAAUAUCCAACAAAACUUGUUCAAACAGAAAAGCAAGGUGAAGAUCUAUUACCAGGUUGUUCGAAUUGUAAUGGCGAAGGGCGAUCUGGACAUGUGGGAGAACGAUGGCUUCGUUGCGCUCCCUGCAUGUGUGCAUAUAUGAGUACAUACAUGUUAGGACUAAUGGUCUCACAGCAUCUUAAUAUUCCUAGCUAGAUCGUCCUGGUAUAUCAAUAUGGAACAGCUAGCGGAUGAACUUAAUCUGCGAGGGAUGAUGUAUAGGAGGGAGCAAUACACUUCUGAGCUGCGGGGCGUACAACACCAGGUUGCGGCGACGCUUGCGCUCCAACCUGUCCAUGAAGCGUUGGACAUGGCGUUGUUGCUAGUACUCCCUCCGUCCGAAAAUACUUGUCAUCAUAAUAGAUAAAACGAGAUGUAUCUAAAACUAAAAUAUGUCUAGAUCCAUCCUCUUUUAUCCAUUUUGAUGGCAAGUAUUUCCGGACGGAGGGAGUAGGAUACAACGGUCUUCACGAAGCACUGAGCAUGCUCUCAAAGCUGCGCUGGUUCCAUUUUUUCUAAAAGGAGGACCACCCCGGCCUCUGCAUCUCGACGAUGCAUGCAAUCACUUUAUUAAUUAUUCACAAAGACCUUACAAAAUAAUAAAUGGGUAAGUUUGAAGUCACAUCUUGGCAACAUAUGUCGUUAUUUCUAUCCACUUGACGAAGGGAUGCCGAUAGUCCGAGCCUAAUACCAAAACAGACCUCGCACCUAAGUCUAACAUCUAAAACCGAAGGCCCCAACCAAGCCAUAUACCUGAUCUGGGGCACACACCAGUCCGGCACACUCUCAGUGGCCACCACCGCCGUCUUCCACCGAUCCAUCUUCAGAGCAGAUACUGACGCCACGACCUUGCCAGGUCUGCCAUCGACGCCACCAUGAUGCCAGACAGCGUCGUCCUCCUAUGCGAGUCCGUCUACACACGUCGAACACCGAGACUGCAUUGCGCCACGCCACCGAGAUCCACAGUCGUCUAUGCGUAAGAUGAAACACCGCUCCACCAAAGAUGCUGGCCGCUGGUCCCUCGAGCCCAUGCACACCUCCAAGACUAACGACCCAAGGGGGAAACGACGCAAGAGCGCCGCCGUCAUCCGAUCUACCGAUCUAGGGUUUCCCCCAGAGGUAACAGAUAGAGGUCUGAAACUUCUCCACGACGAUGUCUUCAAGAAAAGAACGACACAAAAGAGCGCCUCCAUCACCGGCUUUGUCAUCUAGCUAGCCGAGCGCAGGGUUUUCACCCAGAUCUGUUCAAAAAACCUCCAUCAAGUCUGGUGUACGGAUCGCCGCCUGACCAGCCAGCAGCCGCGCCGCGCGAGCAGCAGGGCCGCCCGCAAGCCCCAGCCGCGCCACCGGAGAGCCCUACACCAGACCCCCGCCGCCAGCCCAGGAGCACGACGCCACGUACGACCAGCAGCCACCGCCGCCAGCCUGUGCCGUUGCCCCACCACGCCCCACGGCCGCGCCUCGCCGCCACUAGAAGAAAGCGUCCCGCGCCGCCAUCCUCGGGCAGGAGGAGAAGAAGGCCCCGCCCCCGCCUAGGCCGAGCGGGCUUUGCCCGGCGACAUGCGCCGGCGGCGGCGAGGAGGGGCAGAGGAGGGAGGAGGGAUGAGGGGUGGCAGAUCUGGGCUCCCCCCGGCCGCCCGCUGGGACGGCGCGAGGAGAGGAGGAGAUGCGUUGCGCGAGGAGGAGAUGCACUGCGCUGGUUCCAUACACCGACCAUAAAGCGUUGGAAAUGGCAAUUUACUUACAAGUAGCUAAUUGGACAUGCCAAUCCAUGAAGCGUUGGACAUGGCAAUUAACUUACAACUAGCUAAGUGUCCAUGUGCUGCAAUCGGGGCAUACAUAUUCUAGUAGUUUAACGCCAAUCAUGACUGACUUAUACUUACGCCAACCAUAUUUCUAAAGCAGAAAGUGAUUUGAUUUGAUUGAGUUAAUGCAAAAGAUUUGAUUUGUUCUGAUUGCCCGUAUCCGACCUAAAAUGAUUUGAUUGAGUUAAUGUAAUUAUUUUAUGCCCACCAACGAGGGUGCUACAAAGGAUUUAGUUUGAUUUGAUCGAGUUAAUGCAAGAUGUGUGGGAGGGGACGCUGCAAAGGAAAUUAAUAUUUCAUAAACUUAUUUUGGACUAUAUCAUAAUUUUGACACCUAAGUAAAAAAAAUCUAAUGUGGCAUCCUAUUAAUAAGCAAAGAGAGAGUUAUCCUGGCUUAAUAUAGAUAUAGCUCUUCACACAAAAAUCAAAGCAACUCAUAUUUUCUCUCUCACAAAAAACACUAAAUGAUAAUUUAGAGUACAACAAGAUACAAUCCAUUGAUGAUAUAUAUAUAAACUCACAUUUAAUGCAUAUGAUAUUUAUAACUUAAAGAUAGGAGUGCUUUAAGUAAUCAUGUGCUUAUCUUAUCCUACGGAUGUGUGGUGUCUAUUUAUUAUUGUCAUUAUAAUGAAUUGACUAAGUCUACCUUGUGCGCAGUGUCCUGGUAUAUAAAUAGCCCAGGGCCUGACUCGAUUGAGCACAUCAGUUGUGUUCAUCAUCCAUCUAAGUAUCUUAUAUAAGUUAGGGAUCAAAACAUGGCGUUCAGCAAACUCAACGGCCAGAUGGAAGCCAAGGCAGCCGCGGUUUUGUUCAUUGUGCUCCUUGGAUGCUCCAUGCUCAUGUUGGUCUCCUCAACUGGUAAUAUAUAUGCUCCAUCUGUUUUCAACGUAUACUACAAAAGUUAGUUUGAGAUUGUGACCAACAAUUGCUUUAUACCCGUAUAUAUUUACUGUUACUAGGUUUGUACUGCAAAUAAUUUUCUUGUGAGUAUGCUUUCAUAUCAUAAAAGUUACCUAAUUGUUGAAUACAAACUAAAAAACAGUUGCAUUUUAAAAUGGAGGGAUUGCUAUUUUCUCAUGCAUGUCGUAUGUAUGUGCCUGUUUUUCGCUUGUUAUAUUGUUUUUGGCGGAAGCCGUCUGAUGUAUGUGCAUGCACGCAAUGCAUUCUCUGUCCCAUGCAGAUGGUGAGAUCGGCAGAUCAGGUUGUCCUCGUCUUUCGGAUGGCGAUGCCAUAGGCAAAGACGACACCCCGUUCCCAAAAAUGUGCAUAGGGAGGAGGCAUGGCCCUGAGAACGUUGAAUUCUGUUGUGCAACACUACCAGGACUACCUUGCUGGCGAACGCAGGAAGAGUGCCUCCACGUUUGCCCGUAGGUCUCAUCGUUGUGAUUAAUCAACGUAGUGGGCCAAUCUUUGAUGUUUCUGUCCAUCGGAAAAAUUAGAAUGAAGGGAAAUGAAUAAUAUUUUUUUGAAAAAUGUAUUUGGCAACCCUGUGCCAGUUUGCAAAAAUGCCACACCACCUGGAUGCCGUCGAUUUGAAUCCAACGCGCGUUAGUCGCUCCAGCGAGCCGUUUCUUUUU
This 79643-nucleotide long non-coding RNA is filed under the name Triticum aestivum (bread wheat). RNAcentral describes it as "long non-coding RNA (TAES_LNC021966)". The stretch from base 76584 to 76718 matches the Rfam family "MIR1120/MIR1122 microRNA precursor family". The record is from RNAcentral. Lineage: Eukaryota; Viridiplantae; Streptophyta; Magnoliopsida; Poales; Poaceae.